GACAAUAUUUCUAUGACUGAAAGAUCAAUCAGCGUUUGAAACUUCGGUGUAAUUGUUCUCAAGUAGGCCUUCUGAGGGUUGGUAGCUAGCUCAUUAUACUCGGUAGUACCUGCAAUAUGUAAAAUAUUUGAUUUUAGUCGCGAUAAAAUAAAUAUCAUUUGAUAUGAACAAAUUUUGCAGAGACUAAAACAAAACACGUACCUUUCUCAGGCAUUAAUCGCCUACUAAGAGUUGGACGGUUUAAUAUGAAACCUCCAUACGGAUAUUGUCCAAAAUUAACAGCUGCAUGAAGAGCUGAAGCAGUCCAUAUGAUAAUACUGCAAACUUGAAUCAACUCUUCGCGAGUUUGCAUUUUCGGCCACCAUGGCUCGUCUUUCUUGUCACCAUGACCCACUUCUACAACUUCUUUCCACCAAGAUUGGAGUUCAGAGUCCUGCUGAAUUUUUUCAUCUGAUGUGAAGUAUAUGGAGACGUAGUCUUGUACCCAUGUCUUAAUAGCAUCCCAAAUGUCAAGUCCAUCAACAGCAUAAGGGUAAUCCUCUAUGAGUAGACGAAGACCGUGAGGGGAAGAUGAAUCCGCAACUGCUAUUCCCCUAAAUAAACAAGAUCACAAUAAUUAUACUGGUUAAAUAUAUUGUUAGUCCUUAUAAAAUCAUGAUCGUUCAACUUUAAUCAUGAUUUUGAUAUAUUAUUUAUUGGUGUAUAUUUGUAAGAAUUACCUUUUGAUAAGAUCAGCAGGGAGGGCUUGGUCUGUAAAAACCCAAUCCUUAUAAACUUUUGAAGAUAUCUCCAUAGCAUACCCUCCCCACAAGAAUGUCUUUUCAAUAAUACCAUCUGCAUUGACUAAGGAUGAUCUAGCAAGUGCAUUUAUAUUCAUAGUAUCGCGAUAAUGUGGAUGUAAUAGUUUAUAAAUAGGAUGAAGCACACUAAGUUGUCUGUUUGUUGCUAUAACAAAUGGUUCAACAACUGCAUGAGUAUUUAACCUGCAAUCCAUCAAAAUUAUUCAUAAUCAAUUCAUAUACAUGAAGUUACAUUUCACUAAUAAAAAACAUAUAAAUUAGUAAGGAAAAUUUAGAUAGGAAAAACGUGUAAUUCUUCUCUAAUUCUGUCACUAAUUUUGUAACAACCGAAUUAGAGAAGGAUUCCAUUUGUUCAUUCACUAACUUUCAGUGCUAAUUUUAAUAUUUCGAUGUUUUACCAGUGGCUGACAAGUUGGUGAAAGCAUGAGUCAUUUACUAUAACAUAAGCCUUGGCAAGUAGCCAAACCGUAGCUUCAACACCUUCAAUUGCAGGCAAGUAGACGUUACUAACAACACCAAAUUGAUCUCCUUGAGGAUGUGGAAGACUUAACUCAAUGGCCAAAGGCUUUAAAGUUCCAUCACUUUUCAAGAAAAGGACGGUUCUUGAAGCAUAGGCCUUUGUGGAAGUUGAGUUUAUAAGCCUUAGAUAUGGAAUUAUUGUGUCAUGGUGUUCUAGCAAGAACAAUUUUUUGUUUUGUAUAGCCUGUUCAAAAAAUUAAUCACUUGGUCAAUUCUAUUCAUUGCAACCAUACCACAAUAAAUCAAAUUUGGCUAUAAAGAAACAAAAAUGCUUAUUGGUACCUCAUCAACAGUGAGACCGUCUAAGUUAAGCUGUAUGUGCUCUCUGGUUAUUGUGCUAGUAUGAUCACCAUAGACUGCACUAUCUAGCUUACUUUUUGGAGGAAACUCCUGUAAUAUUAUUUUAGAAAAUCAUGAAAGAAUGAUGUUAACAAUUAGUUUCAUGUUUAUUAACAAUGAACUUGUUAAGCUUACUUGGAGGCUGCGAAUUAAGCCAGGAUUUACACCAGCAAGAAUCUCUCUUCCAAAUUCAUCAUCAGUCAUCCAUGCAGACUUACUCACUACUCAAAAUAAUAAUGAUUAGUCCAUAAAUUCUUCACUAAUUUUUUUUAUUAAAUUUUAGUCGAAAGUGUCAUUUUAAAAACUUGGAUCUUCUCCAACCCUUUCAUAGAUCUCUCCUGUCAAAUUUCAAUUACCGGAUUAAUCUAAAAACUGAUAAUAUUGAUAGAUCAGUAUUUAGAUUAAUUCAAUUGUCGAAAUAUGACAGGAGAGACAUGAAGGCGAGCAAAGAAUCCAAUAAGUGGUUGUUUCGCAAAAGGUAUGAUAUAGUGAUAUACCUUGAAUUACUUUAGGUGUAGGAAACUUGAGGAAUUGUUCACCAUCAGUUCUAAAGAUUUCUGAUAACACUGGUAAAGGACUAAUUUGGCUAAGUAUAUCUGUUGGUAGCUUAAUUCCUCCUUCAUAUAGAUCAAGCACAUCAUCAAAGCUAUCAAAUUCAUUCGGUGUGAAGUUCGUGUCAAAUACAGAUUGUAUCAAUGGAAUUACAUCUUGAGAAACAGACUUAAGUCCAUAAACAAGAAAGUCUGAGGAUUUCAAGUGGCCGAAAGCUUCAUCUCUUGGAAUAUACACACUAGAGCUCCUGCUCUCACUGUUAGGAUCUGUUGUGAUAAUUCAAUAAAAAUUAUAAGUAACAGUAAAAUAUUUUUCAUUAUAAUGAUAUUUUUCGCCAAGCUGUGGUAGUUGAGCGAUAAAAGUUUGACUUUGUAAACUCAAGCGUCAUGUUUAAAUUUCAUUUAAGAUAGUUGUAAAAUAAUCAUUAAUGUCCCCGUUAUUCAUAGUAUUUUUCUGUCCUAAUUUUUUUAAAAAAGAAAAUAACUUCAUACCAUUACAUGCUAUGUAUCAAUGAGAUUCAUUCCUACAAAUUUUGUAUAAAAAAUUAAGACAAAAUCUAAUAAAGUAUUUACUGAAGUUUAUUAAAGAGAAGAAAAAAAAGAGAUGAGACAUGAAUCCAAGAACAUAGUCGAACCUGUUGCUGUUGGUUUUCUGCCCGUUCUUCCCCUACGAGGAUAAGGAAGGCUGCUAGAUCCUCCCAAAACUGGACGAGCGUAGCUUUGACCCUUGUCGGGGUCACCCAAAUCAUUGUAAACAUCAUAAUCAUAAACUCUGUCCCAUUCUUUGCGCUCCCCCGUUCCAUCUCCUCUUAAAGUCUUCAACUCUAAUUGUCUAUAGUAGACAAGUGGAGCAGGUGUUUCACUUGGUAGAAAAGUCUGCAAUAUAUUUUAUGUAUUUGAUGUUACACACUUUAAGAUUUUUUUAUUUUUUUUUAUUUUUUUAUUAUUGUUUGCUCAAAAAAAAAAGAUUUUUAUUAUUGGUAUAGUAUAUGUGAUGAUAAUGUAUGACAUCGGUUAGCUUGUUUCUCAAGCAACUAACAUAUUAAAUAACAUAUGCUCUUCCAUUUUCAAAAAUAAAUUUUUGUCACACUUAUUUGUUUAAUAAGGUGACCACACUCACCACCUUUAAUCAAUCAAAUUACGAGAUGAGUGUUUGUGAAAAAAAUAAAUAGAAGUGAUGUAUACAUAUCAAUCAUUCAAGCAAACUUGAAUAGAGAUGAGAGAAAUUUUUUCUAUACUAUAAAGUAUUAAAUUCAAAUACUAUUAGGUAGAUAGAUAGAUUGCUCUUACAUUGUUGGCGAAGAAAAUACGAUCAGUUAGGUAGUUUUUCGCAUUGUAAACCCACGAGUUGCAAACAAAGUGAAUGGUUCCAACGUUUGGGAUAUCAUCAAGAGUCAAACUCACAAGGAGGAACUCAGUUGACAUAAAGUUCUUAAUUUUGAAUGCUCCAGGAAUUCCAAAGUUGCUAUCAUAUUCAAAUUCAAUGCUGAAAGCUGUUUGUUUAUCUCCCAAUGUUGGCAAAUUGUUAAUUGCCUCUUUUAAAUAAGCUUCUUUUCCAAGUUUCCCUUCCCCAGUUACUGAAAAAUAUGCAUAAAUUAAAACAUAAAGUUACUUAUAAAGCAUAAAUUAAUUUGUACCAAGAUGGAGAAUAAUUUUAGUUAGUCAAGAGUUAUUGGGAAAAAGGAGCAUGUUCCUUAUCUCAAACAUUAAUUUUUCACUUUCUAAUUCGACAAAAAAAACUUACACCCAAUUUUAGUAGAGCUAAUUAACUGGAGACAAAUCGAUCGACCCAGAAAGGAAGUAAGUGUAUCAAAAAUCGAUCCAAACCCAUCUAAGGCUCCAUCGAUAAUCUUCGUAGGAUCAGUUAAGCUGUUGAUGUCCAAGACAUUCUUCUGCAUCAGCACCAAUGUGCCUUUGAUCUUAUCAUUCCCAAAUAGGAAAGACAUUUUUGCUUACCGAUCAAGCCACAAUAUUGUUAAAAUGGAUAGGAAGCUUGUGAGAAAGUCAAGCACACUCACUGCGUAUUUAUAGGCCAACAAGUAGUGUAGAGCUGUCAAAACGGGCCGGCCCGUAUGGGCCGGCCCGUUUAGCCCGAAUAAAUAUAGGGCUUGGGCCUAAAAUAUUGAGCCCGAAUUUUAAUAGGGCUUUUUAGCCCGGCCCUUAAAAGCCCGGUACCCGUUAGGGCUAGCCCGAAUGGGCCGCGGGUAGCCCGUUAGCCCGCAUAACAAAAAAAAAUUCUAUAAAUUAUAUAUAUUUUUCAAAUAAUUAUUUACUUAGUUGAUUAUCAAAGUAUAAAACAAAAGUGAAAAUUCAAUGAAUUAACACAAAUAUAAAUGUAAUAUAAAAUUAUAUUUAUUCAUUUCGUUAUUUAUAGUUUUAAAGAUCGAAUAUAUAAAUAUCUAUAACCAUAACAUAUCUAAUUUAUUUAAAAUCAUUUUUCUCGUCGUUUUAGUUUACGACGUUUGUACGAAAAUGUUUACAAUUUACUUUUGUGCUAGACAUUAAUUAAACAUAUUAAAAAUAUUAUUUAUAAAAAAAUUAUAGUAGUGUUUUAUAGUAUUUUUUAAAAUAAAAAAAAUAUAAUUUUUAAUACGGGCCGGCCCGUUUAGCCCGCGGCCCGUGUAGGGCCGGGCUCGGGUAGUAUAUUUCAAGCCCGUUUUGUCAACCGGGCUUUUUGGCCCGGCCCGCUAAAGCCCGAAGCCCGCUAGGGCCGGCCCGUUUAGGGCCGGGCCGCCCGUUUUGACAGCUCUAAAGUAGUGUUACAAUUUUGUUUUUAAUAACAAAUCAUGAGCUUAGAACUGAGAUAUUCCCAAGUACUUACCAUGUGCAAAAUGUGAAUGUUGAAAAUGAAAUAGUCUGUAUCAAACAAAGAAAGAGAUAAUAUUAUUUAAUCACUACAACACUCUUAUUCAUUUAGUGUAUUAUUUAUUCAUCAACAAUCAACAUUAUUAUAAACUAGCGUGCAAACAAAAAUUACACAUCAGUCCGAUUUUUUUACUCCCGUGAAUCUCGAUAUUUUUUCUUUCAAUUUUUCUCUCUGAUUUAGCCAAUAGAGAUAUCUGUCGAUGUCAUGUCACCUAGUGUUCUGCUUUAAAACUAAACUUUAUCUUAUUACAAAUCAGUCAUCAUACAAAAUAUUAAGGGGAAUUUCAAUCUUAGUGCACAAAUGCAAAUCUAUGUUUAAUUUUGAUUUAAUCAAGGACAUAAUUGCAAUAAGUAAAGAUAUAAUAACACACCUUAUAGAUAAAUGUAUAAUACACCAAAUAACCUGACGUGGCAUGACUUAAAUACACAAAUACUCGGUUGACCAUUUAACUUUACCUAAAAGACAUUUUCAUUAUUUCACCAUAAAAUUUUCCAACAACCACAAAGCUCGCCUUUCCGCAAUCGCCUUAAAGAAUACUCUUAUAUACAACAAUGAUGAUUUAACAUGUUCUAGGCUUAAAACUAAAACAAGUAAAACAUCUUCAAAAUAAUAUAGCUAAUGAUCAACCUCAAAACCCAGUUUUAUUAUUAAUCAUUAUUAUUUUAUAUAAAUACAUUUUCUUGAUAUAAUAAUUUAUGUUGGGGAUAAGAUGUUGAUAUUAAUUAAACCAGUGUUUUAAAACCUGGACCGACCCGGUCGGACUGGUCAUACCAGGAACCGGAGGGUGCAGCGGUUCGGACAGGCUACUAGAUUGGAUAUGGAAUUAGCCCGUUGAAAUCCGGUGUGACCCGGUUGGGUCAGUGGACGGACUGCUGAACCAGUUUAACCCACCCGACCCGUCCCGUUUUUUUAAUAUAUAGAAAAAUGAAAAGGCAAGGCAUAUAAAGACAAAAACCUUGUAACCAAAAAAAAAAAAAAAAAAAGACAAAAACCCUAGUAACACAUACUCCAAACCCAAAAGCGAUGGAAAUGAUGAAUACGGAUAUCAAGACUAUGACAAUUUGACUUCAUGGGCAUAAAUAGUUUAUUGAUUAGUGAAUUGUUAUAACUUAUUUGUGUUUCUGAUUUUUGUUGACUAUGUUUAGAACUUACUUGGGUUUGUAAAUCAAUUAUUUUUUGUUGACUAUGUUCAGAACUUACUUGAGUUUGUAAGUCUGUUAUAUUUUGAUUUCCAACAAUGUUUAGAACAUACUAUGUUUUAAUUUUUAAAGAUGGAAUCUGAAUUAGAACUUAUUUGUGAUGUUUUUUUAUGCGGUACUAUUGUUUAAUGUAUGAGUUCAUUUGAAUUUGGAUUGAAAUUAGCUUGAAAUUGAAUUGUGUUGCAGUUAAGAAAUUAACUUGCAAACUUGCAGCUAUGAAAAUAAAUUUUUUAAUGCACGAACUUCAAAUAGAAAAAAAUGAGAGGAUUUUUUUUUUUUUUUAUCAAAAUUUCAUUUUUUGUCAUAAAUAUUUUAUAUAGAUCGGGUCAAUAGUCAAGCGGUCUAACCAGUGACCCACUGGUUUGACCAGUAACCCAGCGACCCAAUACCUUGACUAGGUUGAUCUUCGGUCCGGGUUUUAAAAAAUUGAAUUAAACAUGUUUAUAUGCAUAUAUUUAUAUAGAAAUAGGGACAAAUAAAAUACUAUAUCCAUUAAUUAACUCUUAUUAUAACGAGGGAACAAUUUUGAUGCAUUGCCUUUGUAAAAAGGUUUACAAUGUCGAUCAAUCAUAACAUUUAUAUGUAUUACUUUCAAGUUAGAUAUGAUGAAACUAAUUUUUUUAAUGUUGAAUAAUUAUGAUUGAUUAACUAUGAAAACAACCUAGAGAAUUGCUGAUGAUACAUUGCAUAAGGUUGUGUCACACGAGUAAUUUAUCGAAAUGUCCCUCGACGGUUAACUGCCGAAUUAUGGAACCGGCUAUAGUUAACUACUGAGGAGCAUUUGGGUAAAUUAACUGCCGAGGAAUAUUUGAAUAAAUUACUCGUGUUUCUCAGCAAUGCAUAUGUGUCAGCAACAAUUCUCAACAAAUUAUGAUUAACUUACUGUGCAAGAACUUUUUUUUUUUUUUUUUGCUAAUAUAAAAUCUCUUUAUAUUAUCUGUGCCUAUGAAUUAAAUAUUUAAUUAAUGUCAAUUAUUGUUUUUUUUGACAAUAAUGUCAAUUAUUGUUGUUUUUUACUUUAAUUAAUGUCAAUUAUUGUUGAGCAUUGUUACUCAUAUUUUUCAAUAAUGACAACACGUACAAGAAAAUGCUUGUAUGCGAGAAUCGUGGUUCACGUGUACUUAAUUUUUUUAUCAAAAAAAUACCAAGAUGCCUUAGUGACUGGAAUAGUAGUUGACUUGAAACUUUUAUAACUUUUGUAAGUUACAUUCAAUAAAUGUGGGUAUUUAUCUGCUACAUAUAAAUAUAGGAGAUAAAUCUUGUACUGUGUGGAAAAUUGUUAUUUUGGUACAAUAUAAAUUUGUUUUUUAUUACUAGAAAAAUAGGAGAUAAAUCUUGUACUGUGUAUAAAUUUGUUUUUCCAAAUCCGGACCGGUGAUCGAUCCGGUCAAAGCAUUGGGUCGCUGGAUCAUUUGCCGAAUCAGUGGGUCACUGGUCAGACCGCAUGACUACUGAUCCGAUCUAUAUAAAAAUAUUUACGGAAAAAAAUGAAAAUUUUGAUAAAAAAAAAUCCACUAAUUUUUUUUUUUUUUUUUUUUGCUAUAUUUAUGUACAAGAUCAAUAAGUCGUUGAAUUAAUGAAAUGAAAUAUAUGAUUAGACUUAUUGAUCUAUGAAAAUACAGUCUUGUUAACGAAUGUCACGACAUAUUUUUUAAGGAUUUUAAAAUGAUAAAGGAACAUAUUAACAAGUGUUCUUAAUGUAAGAGUAUUUAUUUAAGCGUCUAAAAGUAGUAACUUUAAUAUUGCAAAUUGUGUAAUGAUUUUUACAAGUGUUUGCCUAAAAAGUUUUGAAGACAAAUUUUUUUGUUUUGUUGAUUUCUCAAACAAUGUCCUUAUGACCCUCCAUAAAAAAAUAAUAAUAAGGAUCUUGCUAACGAGUGCCCUCGGGGCAAUAGUUAAGGAAUCUACAAUUAAAAAUUUUGUCUUGGAAAUAUAAGGUGUUAUUUUGAUAAAGUAAUGAUUACACAACUUUUUUAUGAAAACUUACUUGUUUUUUGAUGCUUAACCAUUGUCCUUAGUACACUGGUUAGCAUUCUCCAAAAAAUAAUGCCCUUAGAACCCUUGUUAGCAAGACUUGAUAAGAAAUUAUUUCAUAAAACUGUCAAAUAUUUCAAUUUUCAAUAUAUUAAUUACACAAAUUUUUAUAAAAAAAUACCAUUUAAAUAUCUUAAAGAAUGUUUCAAUAGCACUUAUUAACAUUUUUAAAAAUAAACUAGUCUAUCUACCUUACAUGAGCAACUUAAUUGUGCAUAUAUAUUAAACAAAGUUGUAUGUAAUACUUAGCCUAUGAGACACCAAAGAAACAAAAUAGAUUUAACCUCACAUCAAAACAUCUAAACAUAAUCUUCAGAGUAUUUCAACUAAAACAAAAAUCUUUAAGAAAUAGACACGAAUUUACAACUUAAACCAAGUGGUUAAAUAGAAAAUAGAUUAAAAAGAAAAGCAGUAACUUAUAUAAUAUUUUUUCAAAGAGGAACUUAUUUAAAAUUUAUAGAUAGGUAUAUAUCUAUAUUUUAAAUAAGGAAGCAGUCUAUCUCCUCAAGAAAGGAAAUAAAAUAAGGUAGCGUCUAUCUUAUUUAAAAAGAAAAAUUGUAUGGCUUAUUUAAAAUUUUAUUGCAAAAGAGAUUUAUAUAUAAUCAAACUAUUAGAGUUAAGUGAUUAAUGAGCUUCGCAAAUGAAUUGUUUAGGAGAAUCUGGUUUCAAUUACUGAAUGAAACAAUUUUUGAUCAAAGUAUACUACUUAACUUACAUGUAAACUCCAAAUUACCAAGGUCCCUUUCUCCUUAGGAACCAGAGGGUUUAUACCAAGAAAAACGAGAGUUAUAUGUAAGUCUAUAUCUAUAACGAUGGGUGCUAUGAACCAGAGAUGGAGUUAGAAGGGGGACCAAUAGAGGCAACAACCUUCCCAAGUUUUUUCAAUUUUUUAAAUACUAGUAUGCAAAUUAUACUUUUUUUUUUUGUCUAUAUAUUUAUUUUUUGUGAACUUUGAAACAUUUGGAUUUUAGGUGUAAUUACACUAAUUCUUAACUAAAAUGUUUGACAACUAAUAAGAAAUGAAGUUUUGUCUGUAAUUUACAUAUGUACACUAAUCUUUAAUUAGAAUCUCCAUUUAUCAUUCCUAGUUGUUAUUUUGCUUUAUAAUUUUUGAAUCAUUGCAUGUGAGCUCUCGGGCAUUACCAAACAAUUUACUGCUUACAAUUUAAUCUUCCAUUUAUCUUCCUACUUUUGCAUUUUUUUUUUAAUAUUUUCUUUCUCCAGUAUACCAAAAUCAUAUUAGUAUGGUCAUUCUCUAACAAACCUCAAAAUUCUCAUCUCUUUUAUAUCGUUGAAAUUUCUUAAAAUUUGGAUGUAUUUUAACUUUAAUUAUCUCUUAUAAUUUCUUGUAUAUAUUAUAUGAAUUUGAAAAUUUAUUUUUCUUUUACUUAAAUGAUACUUUAAAACCUGGUCUUCCCUAAGUUUAAUUUUUGACUCCGUCAUGUAUGAACACUAUAUCUCUAACAUCCACCUUUUUUACUGGGUGAAACUCUUGUGGAUCCUACACUUUAGAAAUGGACCUCAUGUAAAAUGUAAAGUGGUGAGUCCAAACACGAAUUUUAAAGAUGUAUGCGUGGUUAAUUUAAGUCUUUUAGGGAGUGACGAUUGCCACAAAAUGACCGACCGCUUUGUAAGGAAGUCUUGGUGGGUAAAUGUGGUGAUAGAAUUCUAAAGUUGGUGGAUUGUGGAAGAGUUUGACUCUACAAAAGUGAUAGGUUUUUCUUGGAAGUUGCUUCUUGAUCAAAGUUCAGCUAGGAGAAAUUUAUUGUUGCAUAAGGCCGUUCCUUCAGAUUCUUGACUCUUUGUGUCUUUGUCAUCGGUCGGAGGAAUCCUCUUCCCAUAUUUUUCUCCAUUGCGAUAUUGCGUACAAUGUGUGGCCUUAGGGGUUCAAAUGAGCUUGGUUUUUCAUCGAUUACCCCUCAUAACUUGUUAAUGUAUCUAGAAAUUAUAAUAGGGGAAGCUAGCUAGGAACAACAAAAUCCAAAAGAGUUAUUGGCUAAUUUGGCACACUCUUACUUUGAUUCUUUGGAGAAUUAGGAAUAACAAAUGAUUCAAAGAUUUUUCAAAGAAUGUCAUAGAGGUGGUUGAAGAGGUAAAAUUGAUAUCAUAGAGAUGACGUUUAAUUAGGUUGAAAGUGAGCCUAUAUAGGAAUGAAAUCUGCACAGUAGUCCUCAAGGGCACCAUACCUGGAAUCCAAGGGUCUCUCCAAAACCAAUCUCCAUGCUCAUUAUCUAUUUGGUCUAGGUGUAUUAUGUGAUUACGGUACACAGGAGAACCAUUUGCAACAUCCUAGAUAUACAAAAAUACAAACCUUCUCAAACGAUACAAACCAACAAAAAAUAGGGGGACAAAUGCCACACCCAAAAGGAACAAGAAAAUAAAAGCAAAACAAAGUGGAAAAGGAAAAGAACAAGAAAAGUAUCUCAAAGAAAGACCAUGAGGCAUCUUGGUUAAUUAAAAAAACCAUGCUGAAGCAAAUAUUAUUCGGUUUUACUAAUUAAAUAAUAUGACAAAAUUAAUUUUUAAGUUUAAGGUGAAACAUGAAAGCUGCAUAUGAAAUCAAUGGUCUGGAAUGGUACAAGUACGACAGAUAAAAUAUUUCUUACAUUGAUGUUAAGCAAAACAUUAUAACAAUCAAACAAACAUACAUGCAUAAAAACAUGACCAUAGAUAGGGGUUGAGGGAAUUGAAUUCCUUCUUCGUAUGUUAUUCAUAGAAUUACUACAAGGGAACCUUUUUAGAUGGAGAUACUGUUAGGAAUGCCUCUGCAAGUCAAUCCUUCCUCACUAGAAGGAUAAAGCAAAGUAUACGGCAUCUUCACUGGUCCAUAUCGAUUCCUUAGAGUCUCAUCAUUGUUCCUUUGAGUGAGUUUUUGUUCAAUUUCAGCCAACUUUGUUCCGAAUCUCUUGAAAGCCUCUAAUGGUUGUGAAUCAGAAGUCCAAAGAUCACCUUCAAUUCUCUGUCCAAGGUAUUGUUCAUCAGAAGCAUGUCUUGACAAGACCUCUAUAAUGGUCAAGUCAGUUAGUGUGUCAUCUUUUGGUGUGAUUGUUCUCAAAAACGCCUUUUGAUAGUUCUUAGAAAGCUCAUCAUACUCGGGGGAUCCUUUCUUAGGCAUUAAUCUUCUGCUUUUAGUUGGUCGGUUAAGAAUGUAACCACCGUACGGAUAUUGUCCAAAAUUAACAGCUGCAUGAAGUGCUGAAGCAAUCCAUAUGAGGGUAGUGCAAGAGUCAAUCAACUCUGUGCGAGUUUGCAUCUUAACCCACCAUUUAGCAUUUUUCAAGUCACCGUGACCAACCUCUACAAGUUCUUUCCAAAAUGCUUGGAGUUCAGAAUCUUGUCCAAUAUUUGCAUCUGACUUGUAGUAGAAAUUCACAUAUUCUUCAACCCAUGACUUAAUAACAGCCCAUAUCUCUAAUCCAUCAGCAGCAUAAGGGUAGUCCUCUAUCAGAAGGCGAAGGCCGUGUGGGGAACUUGGAUCCUUAACAGCCACUCCUCUAGAUAACAAAAAAGGAAGAUAUCAUUAAUAUCAAAAUAAAAACUUUGAUAUCAAUAUAUUAUUAACGGAAAGUUUAAAAUUGCGGCAAAAUAGAGUUGAUGCGGCCACAACCAUUGAUGUUUAGACAUUAAAAACCUGAAUAUCCCAUCUUAGAUUGAGGUUGCGAACAAAUUUUCAAUCCUCUUUUUAACUAUUGAAUAUAUGUCUAGGAUCUAAUGUUUUUUAAGGUUACCUUUUGAGUAGAUCAUUAGGCAAACCUUGCUCUUUAAAAUUCCAAUCCUUAUAUAAUACAGCAGACAACUCUAGAGAAUAACUUCCCAUCAAGAACGUCUUCUCAAUAACACCCUCUGCAUUGACCAAAACAUUCCUUGCAAGUGCAUUAAUGUUCAUUGUGUCACGAUAGUGCGGAAGUAAAAGCUUAUGAAUAGGAUGAACCACACUAAGAUGCCUAUUUGUUGCUAUGAUGAAUGGCUCAACAACAGCAUGAGUGUUUAACCUGUCAGACAUAUAGAUAUUAAUGUAUAACUCAUAGAUAUAUAAAGCAUGUUUGACUCUCUAUAAUCUUUUCAAUUGAAUUUAUACCAAUGGCUGAUGAGUUGGUGAUGGCAAGAGUCGUUUACAACAACGUAUGCCUUGGCAAGGAGCCAAAUAGAAGCUUCAACACCUUCACUUGCAGGCAAGUAAAUAUCACUAACAGGACCAAAGCUAUCAGCCUGAGGAUGUGGGCUACUUAGCUCAAUGGCCAACGGCUUCAAAGUUCCAUCAUUUUGUAAGAAAAGGAAGGUUCUCGUAGCAUAUGCCUUUGUAUCAGCUGCAUUUAUUUUCCUCAGAUAUGGAUAUAACGAGUCGUGGUAAUCAAGUAUGUACAAUUUGUUGGUUUGGAUAGCCUAUUAAAAAAAUAUAUAAUUCAGUCAUUGCAAUAAUUUGAAUAAAAAUGAAACAAUUUUGCAAAACAAUACCAAAAUUAUUUAUUUCGAGUAUUGAUGUUAAAUUUUGUAAUUACUUGUUCAACUGUGAUGCCACCCAUGUUUUGUUGAAGCUGUUCUUUGGUUAUUGUGCUGGUAUUAUCACCGUAGAGUUGCCUAUCUAGCUUGCUCUUUGGUGGAAAUUCCUACAUUAAAUAUAUCAAGCAAUAAUAAGGUUAACAAUUACAAAACUACGAUGAAAAAUGGAUACAAAAUUCUUAUUUUAGUUUAUGUGUUUGCAUAACAAUUAUUAAACUAUUAAGUUUACCUGAAUUCUUUUGAUGAUGUGUGGAUUUACACCAGCAAUCAUCUCUCUUGUAAAUUCUUCGUCAGUCAUCCAUCCAGAUUGAUUCACUUUUCAAAGUAAGAGAAAUAUAAAAGUUUUAUGAAAUUAAUUUCUUUCCAAAUUUUGCAUGACUAAAUAUGUGUUUCUAAUGGAUACCUUUAAUGACUUUAGGUGGUGGAAACUUUAGGGCCGAUUCACCAUCAGUUCGGAAGAGUUCCUUGAAAAAUGGUAUAGGGCUAAGUUUGCUAAGUGUACUAGUAGGUAAUUUAAUCCCACCAUCAUAAAAUGAUCGCACAUCAUCAAAGCUGUUAAAUUCUGGCUUAUUGAAUUGUAAUGUAAUUGCAGAUUGUAAUUGAGGUAUGACAUUUUGAGAUACUGAUUUGAGUAUGUAAACAAGAAAAUCUGAAGACUUCAAGUGACCAAAUGAUUCAUCUCUUGGAAGAUAAAUAUACUCGCUCCGUCUCUCACUUUUAGGAUCUGCACAAAUACAAAAAUAGCAAAAUAUGCAUUAGCAAGAGGAAUGUCUUAGAAUCAUAAACAAAUGAAAAUUUGGAUCAACAUACUUAAGAUAUAACAUACAUAAAGUGUUUAAAUAAAAUAUAAAAGCAUAUAACCUUUCUUAGCUGGUUUCCUGCCGGUUCUCCCUCUUCGAGGGUAAGGCAAGGUGUUGGAUCCUCCAAUAACGGGACGAGCCAAGCUUGCUUUCUUGUCAGGAUCACCCACAUCAUUGUAGACAUCGUAGUCAUAGAUCCUUUCCCAUUCUUUACGCUCUCCUGUUCCAUCUCCUCUUAAAGUGUUCAACUCUUCUUGUCUAUAGUAGACUAAUGGAGGUGGUGUUUCACUUGGAAGAUAUGUCUAUAUUUAUAUUUUAGUUAAUAGUGUCAAAUUUUGGAAAAUGUAAGAUAUUUAAGAUGUAAGAUAAAUUUGAUAUUUUUUGAUAAUUACCUUGUUGGCAAAGAAAAUGCGUUCAGUUUUGUACUUUCGACAAUUGUAAAUCCAUGAGUUGCAAACAAAGUUGAUGGUUCCAUGGUUAGGAAUAUCUUCAAGUGUUAAACUUACAAGAAAGAAUUCUCCUAGCAUGAAAUUCUCAAUAUAAAAUGCUCCUGGAAUUCCCAUCUCACUAUCCCAUUCAAAAUGAACUUUGUAUGCAGACUGUCCAGCUCCUAGAAUUGGUGCAGAGGUAACAAAACCUUCAAGAAACGAUCUCUUUCCCACUUUACCUUUUCCACUUUCUACAAAUAUGUCACAAGUUUGUUUUUCAAUUUCAGUACAGAUUUAUAUAAAAAAAAAUAAAAUCAGUUAUGAUAAUUCUCAAAAGAAAUAUUAUAGCAAUUCAAAAUCUAAUACUUUUUUGCAGCGUUCAAUAUCUUUUUAGCUGGAAAAAAAUCACCAUUGAACUUAAAGAUUAUAGUAUCAUAUUAGUUAUGUCUGUAAAAUUUUAAGUAAAUUUAAAUUAAUUGAUAAAUAAUGGAGGUAUGUGAAGAUUAACUAUAUUUUUAUUAAACAACAUUAAUAUUAAAUUUCGUAUACGUCUCAAUAACAUAUAGAAAAAACUUUUGUUUUUUUUCUAAUCUACUUAGGGUGUUGCAGAUCCGUAUGCGCGCCAUUUGCCUAAAAAUAAUAACAUAUAAAAUAAUUCUAAAUUUCUAUAAAUUUUUUACACAGAAGAUCUAAAUAAUAUAACACUAAAGUUUAUCUAUCUCUAAAAAAAGUCCAAGGAUAGACCAUACUAAUUUUAGUAAACAAUAAAUUUUAUAAGGAAAAAUUAACAAAUACUCUUAAAAAAUUAUUUAUAGAAAUUAUAAUAAUUAUAAAAAAUGAAGAACAUGUGUAAUAUUUUAUCAAAGUUUAGUAAAGAAAAAUAGUAAAAUCUAUCUUUGAACCACAUGGUUAGAUUUGACGUAUAGAAAUCAAUUGUGAAUUUAAAAUAUGAAAAUUUUUACUGUAUACUUGCAAAUUGAAGUAUAUCGGUAUUUUUGUAUUGAAAAAAGAAAAAGAGAUUUUAUAACAAUGAGUUAUGAGUAUACAUCCAUUUAGUGAGCAUUAUGUUUGUAGACAGUAGUGUGAGAGAUUAAGUAAUUAUAAGAAGAAAAAAAAAAAAAAAGUAAUUACCAUCAGCACUAGUAGCACUAAUCAACCUGAGAGCCACGGAAGAGCACAAGAUUGAAGCGUAGGUGUCAAUUAUAGAGCAAGUGAGAUUACCAAGAACCUUGAAUCCACCUGUGACAUUUAAACCAGCGGUGAGGGCGUUGAUAUCCAACACAUUCCUAUGCAUCAAUAUCACUGUCCCCUUCACCUUUUGGCUUCUGUGAAAUGGAUUUGUAAACAUCUUUGCAACUUCUCCAGCAAAUUUGUUGUGCACUUUCUGGCAAAUGAAAGAAAACUUUGUGGCUUGCAAGUCACUAUUCUAAUUUUGUUUACACUGCUCUCAUUAUAUACUGUAAGUCUUGCAGCCUAGGUCAACCAUCAAUGUAACUAAAGGGGGUGGUAAUUUAGUAGAUUUAGUAAUAGUAGAUAGAUAGAUAGAUUUGUUUUUCAUUUGGAGGUCUAGAGGGGGUGGUAAUUUAGAUUAAAAAAAUGUAAAAAUAUUGGAGCCCUAAAGUAAGAGUUUAGUCUAUAUAUCUUAUGUUUCGGUUCAACGAAAGAGCUUAUUGUUUAGGGUUUAGAAAAUUUUGAUAGAAUUAUACAACUAGAAGAAUUAGGUUUUAUCAAAAAAAAAAUAGUAGAAUUAGGUAAAUUUUAUCUAUCUAAGAGUUUGGUUGGAUAUAUACUUUUUAGGCAAAAUUUGUUUAACAUUUAUAUUUAUUUUAAAAAUAUGACAUGAUAUUGAUUGAUUGGAUGAAGGGUACAUACACAAUAAAACUACGUAGGUAUCAUUGUGUUCCGGGUAGAUUUAUUAGAAUAAUAUAGUGGUCAUUUGAACAUUAAUUAAUGGUGAUAGAGUUGUUGAGAAUGAAUAAACUAACGAUAGCAUAAGUAAAUAAAAAGCAAAUAGAUAAAUUGCGAGUAAAAUAAUAAUUUGAUCGAUUGUGUAUGUAUAAAUCAAAAUUUACAAUUUGUAAAAAAACAAAUCAAAAUUUACAAGUGGUAUUUAUAGACAAAAUAACAUAACAGGUAAUUCUGUUGUCCUAUAACAUCCUGACUUACAAAAUUAAUCCACAUGUUUAUUUAGAUGUGCCAUUUUUCCUAACAAAUCCACAUGUUUGUAUUCAAGAUCAAAGUUAAUGUAUUAAAAACAAAAUAUAAUUAUUAUUGUUGGUACUACGAAGGUUUAAUGUCAGUAACUUACAGUGUUAGAAACCACACUGGAAACCCAUUGUUUUGGAACAUGCUUAGAAGUUGGAACAUGAGAAAGUGUGGUCCAACUCAUAUCUAAAUAAUAUAUUAGUAUCGAACCAGAGACAUUGGAAAGGAGUAUACUUUGCCAAUAUUACCAGAUCAACUCAAAUGGUUUACUUACAUCUUAACUUAAAACUUUAAAGCAUUAAAUAUAUGAAUUCUCUUGCUUAUAAUGUUGAACUUAUUUUUUUUCCUUCAUGGAAUGUAGAACUCUUAACAAGUAAGUCUAAACCCUAUUUUCGCUCACACGACAACACAUUAUCAACCUUCCCUAUCAUCUUUCCCAAACCUCAUGUGUGUAAAGAGUAUUGUCACUAUCACACGAAAUGUUUGUUGUUUUGAAGGAGUAUUUUGCAUACAUAAUAUUGGAGAGUGUAUUUAUUACAAUUUAAAACUUAUGACAUGGUAGCUACUAGCUUAAAUGCAAUACGUGUAAGGGAAGACGAAGACCCAUAGAAGUCUACUCUUUUGUACUCUUCCAUCAUCUUAACAAAGACAUGCGCCUAUAUCUGUUUAUUUGGCCGUACACAAUAGUAAUAAAGAUAUUGUUAUAUUAUUAUUGAAAUUUAUAACUUAGGAUAAGAUAUAGGUUUGAUCAGACAGAUGCAAUAAUUUUUCUACCCUUUAAAAGCUAUAUUAUUCAAUGUGUAUAUCCACCACUAUAGUCCUUGUAUGGAAAUGCAUUUUCCCAUAGUGUGAAUGGGGAGACCUGGAGAUCAUCAUGAAGCAUCGACUCAAACACACAGCUUGCACUGUUGGAGAAAGAUGCUACUAUUAUCUCAAUUAUUGUUAGUAAUUAUUCAUAUUACGCAGAUUGAGAUCCAAUUCCUCAACUUCAUUAUCACUAAUAAACUACUUUAGUAACCAAACUAAAUAUAUAUAUGCACCAAGAUUAGGCGUGUUGCGGUGUCCGACACGCGUGCUGAGUCAUUAAUUAGUUAUUUUAAUAUAAUAUUUAGUUCCGUUUUAAUUAGAUUUAAGUUUAUUUUAUUUUAAUAUUAUUUCCUUUUAGAGCUAUUUUACUUCAGUUGCAUAUUAUUAUAUUUCAGGAAUGAAUAUUUGAUGGAUUGAGUCUUGGAGCAAAAGAAAAGGGGUUUGGAGCUGAUUCGGAACGAAAAUACGAAGAUUUGGAGACAAAAAUAUGUCUCCCCCAAGCCAGAAGCUUGGCACGACCCGUGCUCCCACUGGCACGGUCGUGCCACCUCCCAGGAUCUCCUUUUGCUGCUUUUGCUUAGAUUUUAAGCUACUCUAUUUAGUUUUGACCGAAAAGCCCGCAGUUUCUUGUGGAACAUUCUAGUGAUGUAUUGCUUAGGUUUUAAGUCGAAUGUAAACUAUAAAUAGAGUAGCUAGCUAUCACAACAAUUCAUCUUUUGCUCUCUGAAAUAAUAAGUGACAAUUGUUUCUUUGAAUAAAAGUUCUCCUUUAUUUUAUGUUCUUCUUCUUCUUCUUCUUCUUCUUCUUCUUCUUCUUCUUCUUCUUCUCUUCUAUGUUUACAAUGAACGUGAGUGAGUAGACUCUUCUGCCUUGGGAUUGUUGGGUAAGUCUAAAUGACAUAACCCUAAUCAAACCAAGCCUUGAACCCUAAUUUUAUAUAAAUUUACUUUCUAAUCUAAAUUCACCGUUUUAACAUGAAUUAACAAUUACCAAACUAUAGAAGCGAAAGUGGAGGGUUAGUAAUUGUUAAUUCAUCAUCUCAAAUAUCAAUUUAUAAAGCGAAAGUGGAGUUUUGAUAUUUGAACAAGUGAAUUUAGACAAGGAUUGCGAAACAUGAAAAUAGUCUAGCAAACCUUGAGACAUAUAAAGUUUCGAACUUCAAGGAUUCUAAUAGCAACCAACCAUGAAAAUAGGCGUGGUUGCUAGGGGAACACACUCACUGAGACUGAAAGGAGAUGUGAUAAGCUAAAGAGAAACUUGUCUUUAGAAAGUAAAUCAAAUAUAAAAUUAUGGUUUAGGGUUUGUUUGUGAAGGGCUUGUUAUUUAGAUGAACCAAUAAUCCCAAGGCGUUUUUUAUUUUUAUUAUUUUCUUUCAAUUAAAAAUCCAAACUUUUCAACUAAAACUCUUUUCUAAUCAUUGUUGAAAGUUAAGUAAAUUCAUAACUCCAUCCCCGUGAGCUUAGCUCAGUUGGUAGGGAUAUUGAAUAUUAUAUGCAGGAGCCGGGGUUCGAACCCCGGACACUCCACUUCUCCACAGUUUAAUUGUGUGAGCUCUGGCCACUAGGCUACUUGACAAAAAAAAAAAAAAUUCAUAACUCCCUGUCGGAACGAUACUUUUGUUUACUACAUCUGUAAACCGUGCACUUGUGGUUUUAUCCCAUCAAAGCGUUGGUGUUUGACAUUCUUAUGACACUUAUACGACAUAUGUUGGACCAACUAAGUCUGGUGUCCCAAAAAUUUAUUAUUUUUAUUUACUUCAACACUCCAUGGAUCGGUGUCUGACAUCUGUAUGACACUCAUAUAACGCAUGUGUCGAAAAACUCAGACAAGUAUCCGAAGUUUUUUUCUUUGCUUCGAGACACCUUAGACAUAUCUAAGACGUAUCUACAAGAUUAAAGAUGUGUGAAAACAAUGUUGAUCAAUGAAGCCGUUAAAGAAAUUAAUCUUUUUAACAAAAUUUUAAUAUUUUUUGUUAAAGAAAUACAUUGCUCAAUUUACAUGUAUAUAUUUUGAUUCUCGCUUUUUGUCAAUGUCAAGAUCCUUCUUCAUAUCAGAUUUGCCGUGUUUUAGUUUUAGUUACUUCUUAGUUAAGUUUACUUGUAUGAGUCAUAAGUUUAAUUUUUUUUUAGGGAUGACUCAUAAGUUUAUUUAGUUUGUUGAGGUAUGAGUUAUAUGUUGGUAUAUCAAGUAUGAGUAAGAGUUCUAUAUUAAAAUGUGGAUGAUGAACACGUUAUAAUUGAGAUGAUAUAUAAUUUUAAUGUCUUAAUGUUUUGGGUUAAAGUGUGUGUCAACCACACAUGUAUUGUUGAUUUGAGCUUAAUGUGAAUGAUCUUUAGACUUCCCUAAUCAGCAAAAACAUUAUGCAACGUAAUUUUUCACUCCAAUAUUCUAUGAUAAAUGCUCAUCUUUCAAAAUUGACCAAUAUUCAUUGAUUUUUUUUUGAAGGAAACCAAUAUUCAUUCAUGUUAACUGUAUAUGCCAUCAUUCACUUUAUAAAUUUCCACUCAACGACUCCGUACCUUGCCAGCCAACACCUCUUCCAUGUCAGCAACGCAACCCAUCAAUAGCAGUUACACACCUAUAGAUAAGAUCCAAUCAACCAAUGAACCAAUCCAUAACAUUUAUACAGACUUAUUAAUUAAGAUUUAAGACCAUUCCAUUAUAGCAAUAGACAUAAGUCAGCAAUUCAAAUAAAGUUUAUAACCAACAUAAGUGUAUGCUUGAUAAAUAUUUCGUCUCUAACACGUAGCGACAAAAUUAUAUAGAGAUAUAUUUCCUUCUCAAAAUGUCCCCAACUGUUUCACCUUUUUUUAGUAGUGAGUCUAGUGACCAUCCUCAAUCUACAUUCUGCAUCAAAAUAUAUAUUGUUCAUGUUUAAUUAAACUAUAUAAAUCUUAUACACUGCAAGGCCCACAUGGUACUUAAGAAGCAAUUGCCAAGUCUUUGAUACAUUAAAUGCAUGCUUGUAUUUUAAUUUUUUCCCUUAAUAGCAAAGCAAAGUUAUAAAUUAAUUGUCACCAUGCAAAGUUUGAAAGCUCUUGACAUACAAUUAUGUUGGGUUCAUGACUUUUGGUGGAACAGGAGGAGUGCAUGACUUAGCAACUGUGAAGGCGUUAGUAUAACUUUUAGGUGGCCUAGUAACAUAAAAAAUUAAUAAGAAAUAUUAAACUUUAUCAUAAGCAAACACUUUCACAAUAAUUUUUACUUUCCUAAAUAAAGGUUUGAACAACCUGUGAAUCAAUGAAUUCUAAGAUGUGAAUCGAUGCCUAUUAUUCGUUUGAAGGAACCAACCUUGAUGAGUGAGCAGGUGUGGCUGAGUGAUAAAAAAUAUCAAAUUUUAUGAUCAUAAGCAAACACACGUUCACAAUAAGUUUUACUUCUCCUUCCAAAAAAAUAAUAAUUAAUUUUUUUACUUUUUCAUAUAAAGCCUUUGUUAGAGUUGUUAUACGUAAACCAACUAAUGUGGACAAACACCCUUCUACCACUCUUAUAGGUGGCCAAUUUUAUAAUAAAAAAUUCUUAUUAUCCAUAUCAUUUGUACAAGAAAAAAAUAAAAAAUAAAAAAUAAAAAUUGUUGUUUUCUCAGUUAUUCACUCUAGUGGCUCUCUUUUUCUCCACCGCCGCUGCCCCGUCCUGGCCUCUCUCACCACUACCAUCAUAUCCUUGUCAUCGUACCUCCGCCCCACCCCCUCUGCAACACAACACUCCACCAACACCACAACUGUCGUGGCCUUCACAGUUCACACCAUCCAGAAGUCUUCCCGUUCACCGCCCUCAAAUCGCACCACCACCACCAUCAUUAUGUAAGAUCUAGCCAUUACCAUCAUAGUUGCCGCCGUUCUCACCACACUCCGUCAACAUCCUCGUCCUCGUCACUACUCAGGCGAGGGAGAAGAGAAAAAGAGAGAUAGAUAAAAUUACAAUUACAGAAGGAGAGAGAAGGAGUAGAGAGAAAAAAGACACGCAGAUAAGAUUUGAGGGGAGGAAGAGAGUUCAUAGAGGGUGAGGAAGGGAACAUGAAAUCUCAUUUUUACCCCUUGUUUUUAAAUAAAACUACAGAAUUGUCAUCCACAUCAGCAAGUGGUACAAAGUGUGUACAAAAGGGAGUGGUCCAUCUAUCAUUUUCCCUUAAAGUUAAGUACCACGUGGGCCCUACAUAGUACUAGAGUGAUGAAUGUGGUGUAAAAAGUUUGGGUGGCGGAAGAUUCUAAGGGAGGAGUGCCGCUUGAGGAGGUGCCAUGGCGGAGCUAAAAAUAAUUUUUUGAUUGGAGCAAUUCUUUUAAUGUGUGUAAAUUUAUAUUUUCUUAUUAAUUAAAUCAAGUGAUUAAACCGGUGUUUUAAAGAUAUUUUAACAUAAAUAUUAUAUAAUUUUUUAUUAUAUUACACAUAUACUUUUAAUUGAAAAAAGAAUUGUGUUUUAUUCGCACAAAAUGUUGGUGAGAGAAAAAUAAUGUUGGUGAUAGAUAUACAACUUAGUGGUUCGGUACUCUUUUAGUGGCCAACUGGUUUGAACCCCUUGAUGGUUUUUUUUAAUAAAUUUAUUAAAAAUAGGCAUAAGAAAUUAAAAAAGAAUGGCAGAUAUGAUUUGAACUUUUAACAUGAAGGCAUAGGAUCUCUCAACUUAAACGUUAGAACACACUUAUUUCUGACGCAACAUAUUAUAUAUAAUAUAACUUCAUACUAUAAUAUGUGAAUAUAUACCUAUUAAAAUGAUUUUUUUAGUGUUUGGGUAAGUGAGUGGCUCCGCCACCGAGGAGGAGGGUGAAGGUAGUGAGGAGGCGACAACGGUGGCUUCAAAGGAGGGUUGUAGAGUGUGAGCAGAGAAGGAUAGGUUUUUCCAAUAACACCGCCAUUAAUUAUAGAUAGAGGAAGGGGGUACGAUAGUUCUGGAAACACCUGGAGGAAAUGUGGAGGGAGAGUAGGUAGGAAAUAGUUGGAUGCAGUAGGGAUUUUUCGCUUACAAAGGAAUGACAAAAUUUAUUUUAAUAUAGAGGAUGAAACAAUACUUAAGAAGUCGGUAGAACUUGAAGAAGUUGAUGAGUUGAAUAAAGGAAGAAAGGAGAAAGCAAGCAGUGGUCAAUGAUUGUAUUGAUUUAUAAUGUGAGAAGCUUGGGGAAGAUCGAAAAGGAAAAUGAUUAACUAGUUGGUGCGCCAACAAAAGGUUGAUAUCUUUCGCGUGGGAGGGUUUUGUCGGGGUGUGCUUGGAGUGAGGAUUCUUUUAAAAAUGUUCUUUUGCCAUUAUAUCUAUUCCAAAUAUGAUAUAAUUGCAAAGAGGAGAUUCUGUGAGAAUCUUUUGAUGGUUACAGAUACUUUGAGAGAAGGAGCUUGGUGUUCGGUGGGUGAUUUUAAUGCGUGUGUAGUUUGAAAGAGAGAAGGGGGAUAAAUUUUGAAGCUUCUUCGGGACAACCAUUGAAAAUGAACUCUUUUUAAUAAUUUCUUGAGGGAGGUGGACAUGCUGGAUGUGACCGCUACUGGUCGUAGAUUUACUUGGUAUAAUUCAAAUGGGAGUGCGAUGAGUCAUAUUGAUAGAGCUCUAAUUAUCAAGAAAAAAUGGUCUAACAAUUAGGGUUAUGUGGCUUGGUGGGUCUUAUCGAGGGAUAUAUCAGAUCAUUACCUCUUGGUUUUUAAAGUUGGAGAUAGGGGUUGGGGUCCAAACCCAUUUUGCUUCAAUAAUUUUUGGCUGGAAGACAUGAAGUUUAAACAAGUAGUGGAGGAUGUACAAGAAAAUCAAAAUGUUAGGUUUGAUGAGAGUGGUGUUGAAAACAAAACCUAAAGCUUUGAAUAUUGAACUGAGAGCUUGGAAUAAUUAAUGAAGUGAGGUUGGGUAUGGAGAUAUAGAAGUUGGUUGUCAAAAUUGGUGGAUAAUAUUAUGGAUCUAGAUGUUAGAGGCAAAAUCUGUUCUUUGAGUCGAAGAGGUGGAGAUUAGAGAAAGAAAGUUAACGAGUUAUUAACGAGAUUAGGGUUUAAAGAUCUAAGUGAAAAUGACUUUGGGAGGGGGAUGCCAAUUGAAAGUACUUCCAUAAAUGUGUGAAAGCAAGAUCAAACCAGAACAUAAUAAAAGUUCUUAAAUCUAAUUAAGUCGAUUAAAAAAGACACUUUUUAAGUAGGACGUUCCAUCCAAUGGCACCCACGCAAAAGUAGGAUGCUGCCACAUAUUUUGUUCAACUUGCUUUUUGAAAUUCUCUACCACCUCUGUUUUCUGAGUGCAGAUCUGCUCCAGUACAAAAUUGCUCCAGUUCCCAGUUAAUGUAACUGAUGCGUGACAUGUGGCAGGGUCAGAUUUCAACGGAUCAGAUUUUAAAAACAAAAUCAGUUUUUUACUUUGACACAAAAAAAGAGCUCUGUGAGAGUAAUAGCACGCUUACGCCCUUCUCCGUCACUCCUCUCCGCCCCUCUCCCUCUUCUUCGUUAGUACGUCGUCGUCCCUCUUCUUCGUUAGUACGCCGCCGUCCCUCUUCUGCAUUUCAAUUGGAGGAAUACAGUGUUAUUCGUUGUUGUAAACAUUCUGUUGGCACAUAGUGUGAUGUUUGUUAUUGCAAAUAAAAGAUAUCGUUGUUGUUAUUGAUUGAAAGCUUGUAACAGCGUGACGGCGGCAGCGGCGGACAGUUACAGCAGCGCGGCGGCGGAGUAGGGCUGAAUAGUGGUAAAUUAAGUUUGAACGUGUUUUGUUUCGACGGAGAAGAGAAGAGAAAUCAUUUCUAUUUUUUUAAUUAAAAAUAACUUACUUUGCAAAUUUAAAAUCUGAACCAUUGAUGUUGUUUUUGCCACGUGUCGUCAAUUUGUUCAAAGUACAGGACAGUUAAUGGAUUUUAUAAACUGGAGCUGAUCUGCACUCCUGUUUUCUAGUACAGAAAAUACUUUUUAUGUUUUGUAAAAAUGACUUCUUAAGUCGGUUUCGAGGCCGACUUAAUAGUAGACGACAUAAGAAGUAUUGACUUCUUAAGAUAGAUAUGACCCAACUUAAGAGAAUGACUUCCUCAGUCGCGUAAACUCUGACCGACUUGGCAAAGUAUUAUUUUAAUAUGAAAAAAUUGCCACGGGUAAACCAUGACCCAAAAUUGUUCAAGAAAAAACCGUGGCCAAAUUUUUUUUGGAAAAAAAUUAAAUUUGUUCGACAUAAGUCGGUUUCGAGUCCGACAUAAUAGUAGCCUGAUUUGCUCGAUUUCUUCAUGAAUUACUUCAAGAACACUGCUAUGUUUCGGGAAUAAUAGAAUUACAGACUCAAAUAUAAAAAAGAUUACAAAUGUCCCGAAAUCAUAGAUUAAUCUAAUACUUCUCUACUUUAUUGGUAAAACCUACUAAAAUUGAUAGAAAGACAUGCUAAGAAUAACGUAAGAUGACCUGUCAUCACUACCGCAUUAAGUCUAAGGAAGUUGGGAUCACCUUUUGUAUGUGGUAACCUGGUUAAAUUAGCUUGGUGAUUUCAAACUAUGAACUCUGAGUACCAGUUUAGUUAAAAGAGAUCUAUGAUGUUGGAAGAAUGUUGGAAGGCUAGCUUAGAUGAAAAGAGUUGGAUGACUAUAGAUAUACGUUAUGUAUUAAGCCAUCAGUUGUACUACCUUGUCUAUUGUAUACUCGUUAGUCGGUGCACUAUUACUCAGAUAUGAAUUAUAUUUAAUGUAAUCGCCAGUUAGUACAUUUUGUAUUUAGAUACGACUUAUGGAUUGUACUCAACAAUUAGGACUUUCAUCAGAUUUAUGAGGUAGUAUAAUGUUAUGGUUCAUUACAUAGAGAAAGUUGAAUUAUUUCUUACUUUCCAAGGAUGUAAGCUUAAAGUCCAAUAUUGUUCCGUGUAGGGACGAUCUUAUACGAAGUAUGGUAAAUUUUACUUCAAAUAACCACCCAAAUUACGGAGUAGUUUUUACUUCUUUCACCUAUUAUAUUCCUUGGUGAUUAAUUAUUUUUCAUAUUUUUAUUUCAUUAAGGUUCUAGAGCAGGUUGAGCAAUUGAGCUAUCAACGGAUCCCAACUUAUUCUUGUCAGAAAGUGUCACUGUCACCACUCAACGGGUGUGAAAGGAUUGUUACCAUUCAUGGAAGCCAUGUGAGGUAGGAAAAACUAAACUGAUACCAUAUUUGAACCAUAUAUAUGAGACAACUGGUUUCUGAAAUAAGGUACAAAAAGACACAAUAGUUCUUAUUGAUUUUAAGUAAAACAUUAACAAUAAAACAACCAUAGGUAGGAGGUGAGGGAAUAGAAUUCCGUCUCGUCUGUUAUUCAAAGCAGCAACACAAUAACCAUGACCCAAUUUAGAUGGAGAUACUAUUGGGAAUGCCUCUGCAAGUCAAUCCUUCCUCACUAGAAGGAUAAAGCAAAGUAUAUGGCAUCUUCACUGGUCCAUAACGAUUCCUCAGUGUCUCAUCGUUGUUCCUUUGAGUGAGUUUUUUCUCAAUUUCAGCCAGCUUCUUUCCAAACCUCUUGAAAGCCUCUUUUGGUUGUGAAUCAGAAGUCCAAUUAUCACCUUCAAUUCUCUGUCCAAGGUAUUGUUCAUCAGAAGCAUGUCUUGACAAGACUUCUAUAACAGUCAAGUUAGUUAGGAUGUCUUUCUUCGGUGGGAUUGUUCUCAAAAACGCCUUUUGAUAGUUCUUAGAAAGCUCAGCAUACUCAGCAGAUCCUUUCUUAGGCAUUAAUCUUCUGCUUUUUGUUGGUCGGUUAAGAAUGUAACCACCGUACGGAUAUUGUCCAAAAUUAACAGCCGCAUGAAGUGCCGAAGCAAUCCAUAUGAGGAUGGUGCAAGCCUCAAUCAACUCCUUACGGGUUUGCAUCUUAAACCACCAUUUAGCAUCUUUCAAGUCACCGUGACCUACCUCUACAAGUUCUUUCCAGAAUGCUUGGAGUUCAGAAUCUUGUGCAAUAUUUGCAUCUGACUUGUAGUAGAAAUACACAUAUUCUUCAACCCAUGACUUAAUUGCUGUCCAUAUCUCUAAUCCAUCAGCAGCAUAAGGGUAAUCUUUUAUCAGAAGGCGAAGGCCGUGUGGGGAAGUUGGAUCCUCAACAGCCACUCCUCUAGGUAACAAGAAAGGAAAAAAUCAUUAAUAUCAAAAUAAAAACUUUUGAUAUCAAUAUAUUAUUAACUGAAGUUUAAAAUUGCGGCAAAAUACAGUUGAUGCAGCUACAACCACUGACAAUUCACAUGAAAUUUUUUGAUGUCUCAUCUUAGAUCGUGGUUGUGAACACUUUUUCAAUCCUCGUUUCAACUACUGAAUAUAUUUCCAGGAUCUAAUGUUUUGUAAGGUUACCUUUUAAGUAGAUCAUUAGGCAAACCUUGAUCGGUGAAAACCCAGUCUUUAUAUAUUACCGCAGACAAUUCUAAAGAAUAACUUCCCAUCAAGAACGUCUUCUCAAUAACACCCUUUGCAUUGACCAAAACAUUCCUUGCAAGUGCAUUAAUGUUCAUUGUGUCACGAUAGUGCGGAAGUAAAAGCUUAUGAAUAGGAUGAACCACACUAAGAUGCCUAUUUGUUGCUAUGAUGAAUGGCUCAACAACUGCAUGAGUAUUCAACCUGUCACACAUGUCGAUAAUAAUGAAUAACUCAGACAUUUAAACUAUGUUUGGCUCUCUAAUCUUGGGAAUAGAAUUUGUACCAGUGGCUGAUAAGUUGGUGAUAGCAUGAGUCAUUUACAAUCACAUAAUUCUUGGCAAGUAGCCAAAUAGAAGAUUCAACACCUUCACUUGCAGGCAAGUAGAUAUCACUGAUAGGAUCAAAGCGAUCACCUUUUGGAUUCGGGCUACUUAGCUCGAUGGCUAAUGGCUUAAAAGUUCCAUCAUUUUGUAAGAAAAUGAUGGUUCUAGUAGCAUAUCCCAUUGUAUGAUCAUUGACUUCAUUUAUUUUGCUCAAAUAUGGAAAUAUUGAGUCUUGGUAAUCAAGUAUGUAAAGUCUCUUGUUAUGGAUAGCCUGUUCAAAAAACAUUUGAUUUAGUCAUUACAAUUGUUUGAAUUAAAAUGAACCUUUUUCGCAAAAUACUUCCUCCGUCUCAUUUUAAUCGUCAUUUUUGCAUUUUUUUUAUCUAUCUCAAAAUAAUUUUUAUUUUAAAAUAUUAAUACAAUAUUUAUCAAUUUUUUUAACUUUAAUAUACUCUUUUUUAUUGAAUUUUACUUCAUUUAACUAUUUUACUAACUACCAUUGAUAAAGGUGUUUUAGUAAAUGACACUAUUUACAAUUGAAAUCAAUCAACUAACCGCACACGACUCAAAUACUAUAAUUAAAAUGAGACGGAAGGAGUAGAAGUAACAAAAUCAUUUAGUCAUUACUUCUUCUACAGUGACCCCAUCCAUAUUUAGCUGCAACUGUUCUUUGGUUAUUGUGCUCGUAUUAUCACCGUAGUCUUGGCUAUUUAGCUUGCUCUUUGGUGGGAACUCCUACAUUAUAUAUAACAUGUAAUACUGAGAUUAACAAUUGAAAAUAUAGUAUGUAAAAUGGACAAAAUAGAGUUUAAUUUUCUGUUUGUAUAGAAAUCGUUAAACUAUGAAGUUUACCUGAAGUCUUUUGAUAAUGUGUGGAUUCACACCAGCAAUCAUCUCUCUUGUAAAUUCUUCAUCAGUCAUCCAUCCAGACUGAUUAACUGCUCAAAAUAAGAGCAUUGCAAAUGAUCCAUGAGAUUUCUUUCCAUAUUUUGUAUGAAUAUAAAUUACUAGGACUAAAAUCGUAGUAGUUCUAAUUCCCUGGGUACCUUGAAUCACUUCAGGCCGUGGAAACGUAAGUCCAGGUACUUCCUCAUCAUAGAAGGCAUGCACAUCAUUAAAGGUAUCAAACUCUGGCUUAUAAUUGCAUUCUAUUUCUAUCUCAGAUAUGAAAUCUUGAGAUGCUGAUUUCAGUAGGUUAUCAAGAAAUUCUGAAGACUUCUUGUGAUCAAAUGAUUCAUCUCUUGGAAUGUAAACAAAGCCGUUCCGACUCUCACUUUUAGGAUCUGUUCAUGUACAAAAUAGCAAAUAUGUAUUAGCUAGAAGAAUGACUUUAGAAUCAUUUUCAACACAAAAAAUAAUGCCAGCAUUAUUAAGAAAGUAAAAGAGAGUAUUUGAGAGAAGACAUAAAGAGAAAAAUGAAGUAAAAAUUGUGUUAUUCAAUUCAGUUUGUUACAAUGGAGAUGAACUCUAUUUAUAAGCUAAUUUCUAACAUAGCAUCUCUAACAAACUUAACAGCUGUACAAGCUUAUGUGGCAAGUUAGUUAGAGUUAGAAGUGGUUGCUUGCUCCUCAAGUAAUCUUCCUUCUUCUUCCAUUCUUAACAAUCAUAACAUACACUAUACUUUUAUAAAUAUCAAGGCGACAUUAAUUAAGUCUUAUUGAAAUACACCAGGGAUCACUUUCGUUUGUGAAGUAAUACCUUAAAAAAUAAUAUACCCAAGUGUUUAAAAAGAGUAUAAAAGUUUAUAACCUUUCUUAGCUGGUUCCCUGCCGGUUCUUCCCCUUCGAGGGUAAGGGAAAUUGCUCGAUCCCCCAAGAAUUUGACGCGCCAAUUGAGGUUUCGAGUCAGGCUCACCUAAAUCAUUGUAGACAUCGUAAUCAUAUAUUCUUUCCCAUUCCUUGCGCUCUCCUGUUCCAUCUCCUCUUAAAGUCUUCAAUUCUUCUUGUCUAUAGUACACUAAUGGAGCUGGUGUUUCACUUGGAAGGUAUGUCUAUAUUUUAAAUCAUAUGAAGGUGUCAGAUUUUGGGAACUAUAGUUUAUAUUUAACAUGCAAGAUAAAUAUGGUAUAUUCAUUACCUUGUUGGCAAAGAAGAUGCGUUCAGUUUUGUAGUUUUGAGCAUUGUAAAUCCAUGAGUUGCAAACAAAGUUGAUGGUUCCAUGGUUGGGAACAUCUUCAAGGGUCAAACUUACAAGAAAGAAUUCUCUUUGCUUGCGAUUCUUAAUAUAAAAUGCUCCUGGAAUUCCCAUGUCACUAUCCCAUUUAAAAUGAACAUCAAAUUCAGAUUGCCCUGCUACAUUCAAAGACGUUUCUUUUCCGACUUUACCUUUUCCACUUUCUACAAAUAAAAUAUGUCACAAUUUUGUUUUUCAAUUUCAGUAAAGGUUUAUAAAAAAAAAAAAUCAGUUAUGAUAAUUCUCAAAUGAAAAAUUAUAGCUAUUAAAAAUCUAAUUCUUUUUAUAAAAAAUUAACAAAUACUUGUAAGACAAUUUUUUAAAGAAAUUAUAAUAAUAAAAAAUGAAGAACAUGUGUAAUAUUUUAUCAAAAUUUUGUAAAAAAAAUAGUAAAAUCUAUCUUUGAAACACAUGUUUAUAUUUGACGUUCUCUAAACAUAGAAACCAAUUGUGAGUUUAAAAUAUGAGAACUUUUACUGUAUACUUGCAAAUUAUGUUUGUAGACAGUAGUGUGAGAGACUAAGUAAUUAUAAGCAAAAAAAAAUAAGUAAUUACCAUCAGCACUAGUAGAACUAAUCAACCUGAGAUCCACGGAACUGGCCAUAAUAUAGGUGUCAAUUAUAUAGCUAAUGAUACCAUGAACAAGAUUGAUAACACCUUUGAUUAAACCAGCGGGACUUGUAGCUGAAGUGAGGGAGUCUAUAUCAAACACAUUCUUUUGCAUCAAUAUCACUGUCCCCUUCACCAUUUGGCUUCUGUGAAAUGGAUUUGGAAACAUCUUUGCAACUUUGUGCACUUUCUGCUUUUCUGACAAAUGAAAGAAAACCUAGUGGCUUGCAAGUUUCUAUUCUAAUUUUGUUUACACUCUCACUCUUACUAUAUAUAUAUAUAUAUAUAUAUAUAUAUAUAGUAAGUCUUGCAAAUCAUGGGGGCUGCAUCCAGCACGUCAACGACCUAGGUCAAUACAGCAAGGUAAUUAAAAUCAAACCAGUCGGUUGAAACGGUACCUUUGAGUUUGGUUGGAUAUUGCUUUUCCUCUAGUUAAUAAUACUAGUUUGGUUCCUCUAGUUAACAUCUGUACCAAAAAAAAAAAUAUUUGUUUAACAUUUAAAUUAUUUUAAAAUAAAUUAAUAUAAAAAUAUUACAUGACAUUGAUUGAUUGGAUGAUGAGUAUAUAUCUAUUAAAAAUUGUAUAGGUGAUAGAGUGUUGAGUAGUUGAGAAUUAAUGAAGUAACGAUAUCAUAAGUAUAAAAGGCAAAAGGAUAAAAAUUGCGAGUAAAAUAAUAGUUUGGUUUAUUGUGUGUCAAUCAAAAUUUACACGUGAACUUAUAGAUAAGGUGACAUAACAUGUAAUUCUAUGUCAUGUUAAAAUUGAGAUUUUGCUUUAGAUCGAAAGAGAUCAGCAAAAUCGACAAUCGUUAAAUCGCAAUUAAAAUUGAUGGAUUUUAUCAAAAAUAUAAUAUUAAAUAUAUUUUAUAAAUGGUAUAUAGUGAUAAAUGACUUAGAUUAUAAUAAAUUGUAAGACCGCAAUCAAAAUCGUUGAAUUUUUCUUAUUUUAGAAUUAUACUAUGGGUUUGAGUCGUUAAAGAUGAAAAAAGUCACAAAAUCUUAAAUUUUAAGAUUUAAGUCGGUAUUUUAACAAGUCUUAACAUCAUGGCUUGCAAAUUCAACAUUGAUUGUUGUUAGAGUAAAUUACACUCCCCUCCCCUCAAAGAUGCUUGAAUUACAUUCCCCUCCCCUCUUAAGUUAAAAUAUACAAUCCCCUCCCCUCUUAUUCAAAACAUAUUAGAGAAAAUUUCACUCCCCUCCCCUAAGAGAAGCUUGAAUUACAUCCCCCUCCCCUCUUAUGUUAAAAUCUACACUUUACCCCCUCAAUAUUCUUUUUUAUUAUUUCUAAUAAUCUAGCAAAAAAUAAUAAUUUAACACACUUAAAAAAAUAGUAUUGCGAGUCUGUUUUAAUAUAAUAAAAAGUUGAAUACAUAUUUUUCGCUAUUUUUUAUUCACAAUUUCAUUAACAUGUAGUUUUAAACCCUAUUAUAAAAUAUUAAACAACCCAAAACAAAAUUAAAAUAUGUGAAAAAUUACUAAAAUCAUUAAGGCAUGAUUAUUUAGAAGUUAAUUUUAUACUCAGAUUUAUAAAAUCAAUAGCAAUAUAUUUAAAUUUAAUUAUCAUUGACAUUUAAACUAUAAAGAAAUGAAUUAAUUUUUCUUAAAUGGUGAUUCAAAAUUAAUAUAUAUUAUAAGAAUAUUUAAUUAUGUUCAAAUAGAUUAAAGUGUAGUGCAUAUUUAAUUAUUAAGGGAAUGGUUUGUAAUUCAAGCAUCUUAUAAGGGAGGGGAGUAUAAAUUUUAACAUUAGAAAAAAAUAUUGAGGGAGUAAAAUGUAUAUUUUAACUUAAGAGGGGAGGGGAGUGUAAUUCAAGCAUCUUUGAGGGGAGGGGAGUGUAAUUUUUUAUUGUUUUGUAUUGAUCCACAUGUUUAUUUAGAUGUAUCAUUUUUCCUAACAAAUCCAAAUGUUUAUAUUCAAGAUCAAAGCUAAUGUAUUAAAAACAAAAAAUAUCAAUUAUUGCUGGUCCUACCACGGUUUAAUGUCAAUAACUUAGUUUAGAAAUCACACUUGAAACCCAUUCAAUGUUAUCCACCACUAUAGUCCUUGUAUGAAAAUGCAUUUUCACAUCUACAUUUUCCCAUGGUAUGAAUGGGGAGACUUGGAGAUCAUCAUCAAGCAUUGACUCAAACACAAGGCUUGCACUGUUGGAGAAAAAUGCUAUUAUUAUCCUAAAUUAUUGUUAGUAAUUAUUCAUAUUACGCAGAUUGAUAUCCAAUCCCUCAACUUCAUUCACACACACACACAUAUAUAUAUAUAUGCACCAUGAAGUACACACCUCUCUAAGUGUGUCACGGUGUCCGACACCAGUGCCGGAGCCAGAAAAAAAUGUUUGGGUGGGCCGCUAAAAUAAACUAUAAACAAUAAUAUGUAAACAUAAAAUUAAAGUACUAAUAAGCAUUAAGCUUGAAGUUGAAAUUGCAAAGUUUGACUAAAAAGCUCGGGUGAAUGCUUUAAAAAAACAAAUUACAUAUUACUAAUGCUAUAAAUUAUGAUUUUUUUAUUUAUUUUAUAAUACAACUCUUAAUUGGAGGAAUUUUUUACAAAACAAUAUAAAAGAGAUUUGAAACCACCAAAAAUUAAAAGGUCUGUAAACCUCCGUUAACUAGCCAAGUAUAAGCAUAAAAAAAAAAAUCACAUAUGUCACUUUUGGAACCACCGAAAAUCUAAACGGUUGAAAAAUUGUUUAAAAUCUCGCAAAGCUGACUUAUGAUCGUCGAUUUUUUACUUUUUCCGGGUGGGCUGUGGCCUACCCCGGCCCUUAAAGGGCUCCGCCUCUAUCCGACACACGUCGAUAUUUGACAUUCAUAUGACACUCAUAUACAACACAUGUUGAACCAACUCAGUCUAGUGUCCCAAAAAUUAAUCAUUAUUUUAUUUUCUUCGACACACCUUGAACAUAUUUCUAAGGGUAUCUACAAGAUUAAAGAUGUGUGAAAUCAAUAUUGAUCAAUGAGGUGGUUAAAGAAAUUAAUAUUUUUAACAAAAUUUUAAUAUUUUUUGUUAAAGAAAUACAUUGCUCAAUUUACAUGUAUAUAUUUUGAUUCUCGCUUUAGCUAUUUUAUAAAUAAUACUAAUAUAUGAUUUGAUUAUAAGAAAUUAAUAAAUAUAUAUGUUGCGAUGCCAAAGUCUUAUGUUUUUUAAUUUUUACAUUGACGAUAUUAAUAUAUCCGUGUCAAUGUCAUGUGUCAAGUGUUCAUGUCGGAAUACAUGUCAUAAAGAGUGUGUGUAUAUAUAAUUCAAGAUCUUUAUUCAUAUAAGAUUUGCCGCGUUGUAGUUUUAGUUACUUCUUAGUUAAGUUUACUUGUUUGACUCAUAAGUUUAUUAUUAGUUGUUGAGGUAUGAAUUAUAUGUUAGUAUAUCAACUGUGAGUAAGAGUUCCAUAUUAAAAAGUGUAUGAUGAACGUAUUAUAAUUGAGAUGAUCUCUAAUUUUAAUGUCUUCAAAUUUUGGGUUAAAGUAUGUUGUCAACCACACAUGUAUCGAAAAUUUGCACUCCAAUUCUAUGAUAAAUGCUCAUCUUUCAUAAUCGACCAAUAUUCAUUCAUGUUAACUGUAUAUGUCAUCAUUCACAUUAUAAAUUUUCACUCAACUACUCCUUAGCUUGCCAGCGAACAUCUCUUCCAUGUCAGAAACCCAUCAAUAGCAGUUACACACCUAUAGAUAAGAUCCAUUAACCAAUAUCCAUGACAUUCAUACAUACUUAGUAAUUAAGAUUUAAGACCAUUGCAUUAUAGCAAUAGACAUAAGUCAGCAAUUCAAAUAAAGGUUAUAACCACAUUAUUGUACGUAAGUAACAUAACUAAGUGCAUGCUUGAUAUGCAGUGAAAUUGAAAGCAGACAAGAAAAUGCAGCAAUGAUAGGUUGACACUCUUAGGGUGUGUUUGGUUGUGGAGAGAGAGAAAGUGAUAAGAGAGAAGUAGGUGAGAGAGUUUGAGAAGAGAGAAAGAUGUGAGAAAUAAAGAUAGUGUUUGGUAUAAAAGAAAGAGAUAAGAAAUUGAGAAGAGAGAAGUGUUGAUUAUUUUUAAAAGUACAAAAAUACCCCUUAAAAUAAAAAUCUUUUCCUAAAACUACUCUAUUUUAUAUUUAAUUAAAUUUAUGAAUUGAUUAGUUUAAUUAGUUAUCUGGGUUAUUUUACUAAUAAUAAUAACAAGGUAAGUUAAUUAAUUUAAUUAUUAUUUAAAUAAGCCUAUUGUGAAAAAGAAAGAAAGAAUCACGUGACAACAUUGCAUAAAAGACAAAAAAAAUGUGUUGUUCUCUUAAAUUAAAGGGCAUAAAAGACAAAAUUAAAGCAACAAAAGAGUAACUUCUCUUCCGUUUCUUCGCUAAUUAGGGGAGAACAAAAAAUGCAUGGGACCCACCAAUUUUGUCCCUCUUCUCUCUUUCUCACCUUUGUCAAACUAGAGAAAUGCCACACUUCUCUCCUCUUUCUCUCCUUAGUCUCUCUCUUCUACAUUUCUCCACUACUAAAGAGAGUUUUAAUGUAUACACUCUUUUGCAUUACUUUAAAAAAAUUAAAGUUAACCAAAUAUAUAGUUUAUGUGACCACGUUUUUUUAGUUACGUGGCCACUAUUUUUAUGACAUACAUGCUCAUAAUAUAUUACUCAUGUUUAAUUAAACUAAAUAGAUCUUUUUUGGGACUAAAUAGAUCUUAUAUCUUAUAUCAUAAGCAAACACUUGGAUUUUUCCACUGUAGGGCCCACAUGGUACUUAAGCAAUUGCCAAGUCAAAAUAUAUAUGUUUACUUAAACUAAAUAAAUCUUAUCUCUUACCACUAUCGGGCCCACAUGGUACUUAACGCAAUUGCCAAGUCUUUGAUGCAUCCCCUCAAAAACAAUCUUGAUGCAUUAAAUGGAUGCUUGUAUUUUUUCCUUUUAUAGAAAAACAAAGUCUUAAAUUAAUUGGCACCACGCAGAAAGUUUGGAAAGCUCUUGACACACAAUCAUUUUGGGUUCUUGACGUUUGGUAGAAUAGGAGUGCAUGACAUAGCAACUGUGAAAUCAUUGGUAUAACUUUUAGGUGGCCAGAUAAUAUAAAAAACUAAACUUGAUCAUAAGCAAACACUUUCACAAUAAUUUUUACUUCCAUAAAAAAAGGUUUGAACAGCCUUUGAAUCAAUGACUUCUAAGAUGUAAAUCGAUGCCUAUUAUUCGUUGAACUUUGAAGGAACCAACGGGUAGCACUUGGAUGACAUAGAGUUGGGUGACAUUGACCAAUCACAAUGUCAUAAUGCUUGUGUUUCUCUCUCUUUCACAAGUAUUGUGACAUUAUAAUUGACUAAUGUCACUAAUGUCAUCCAACUCUAUAUCACCCAAAUACUAUCCUGAAACCAACCUUGUGAGUGAAGCUGAGUGAAAAAAAUAUUAAACUUUAUGAUAAGCAAACACACGUUCAAAAUAUAUUUUUUACCUCUCCUUCCAAUUUAUUUACUUUUUUUUACUUUAUCAUAUGGAGCUUUUGUUAAGUACAAGGUGGGUCCUAUAUAUUAUUCGAGUGAUGGGAGUGGUGUAAAAUUGGUCUUCUAUCAACUAGAUCACUCCCAUACAAACUGACGAAAAUAUCUCUAACGUAACUUAAAUCAAUCUGAAAGGGAGCGUGAGUUAACUCACACUGGGCUUGCGUUCAGGACCAGAACAUCAUAAACAUCUUUUUCAAUAAUUUUCUUCAUUCCUUCAUUCAUACAUACAUCCAUUUCUGUCAAAAAUACAUGUUUUCAUCAUUCAUUUAAUGAUUCAUUCAUUCACUCAUAAUUUAAAUAAAAAAAAUAAACGAAAAUUAACAAAAAUGUCAUAAAAAAACGCAAACGCGCAAAUGUAAAUAUAUAUUGCAUCCAUAUCUACCAAAGUGUAAAAAAUACAUCUAAAUAUACACAAAUGUUAGGAAAACACUAUAUAUAAAAAAAAAAUCUACUCCUAUGGACUAUGGCUCCUAGUCCUCCGCGGAACCGGCUCCUCCUGAAGCAUGCGAUACUCCGACCAGAUUCCCUCCAUAAUUUCAUCAUUAAAAAUGCUAAAAACAAACAUAUUUUCAUGUGUUAAAUAUGUCUUUAGUCCUUACAUUUUGCGCCCCUUUGAAGAAUAGUUCCUACAUUUCAUUAAAUGUUUUUAAAAUCCUCACAUUUUCUCUCUGUUAUCAAAAUUAGUCCUUGCUGUUAAUUCUCCAACGGAAUGCUGAUGUGGCAGUUAGUGGGUCCCAAUUAUUUUAAGGUUAAAUAUGUUUUUUGUCUGUACAUUUUGCGUGACUUUGAAAAUUAGUUUUUACAUUUCAAUAAAUGUUUUUAAAAUCCCUAAAAUAAUAAGGACUAUUCUUCAAAGUCACGCAAAAUGUAGGGACCAAAAACAUAAUUAACCUUAAAAUAAUUGGGACCCAGUAACUACCACAUCAACAUUCUAUUAGAGAAUCAACAACAAGGACUAAUUUUGAUAACGGAGAUAAAAUGUGAGGAUUUUAAAAACAUUUAAUGAAAUGUAAGGACUAUUCUUCAAAGUCACGCAAAAUGUAGGGACGAAAAACAUAAUUAUCCCUAAAAUAAUUGGGACCCAUUAACUGCCACAUCAGCAUUCCGUUAGAGAAUUAACAAUAGGGACUAAUUUUGAUAACGGAAAUAAAAUGUGAGGAUUUUAAAAACAUUUAAUGAAAUGUAAGGACUAUUCUUCAAAGGGAAGCAAAAUGUAAGCACUAAAAACACAUUUAACCCUAUUUUGAUUGAGACAUUUUAUCAAACACCUAGAGUUCAACAUAAUUUCUAACAAUUCCUAACUCUAACCUAACUCUAACGUACCAUAUUUCAAUCAAACCUACUCUAAUCAACUUCUAAAAAACAAUUUAUAACUUAAUUUAUCAUUAACAAUAAAAAUAUCAAACAUGCAAAUCAACUCUAAAACUUAAAAUUUCACAAUUUCAUCCAAAAAAAAAAAAACUAACAUUUAAACCCAAAAAACCCAAUGCAAAAGGUUAGAUAGCACUUGUGAUGGAAGUAGAAUUUGAUAUUGAUUUGAUUGAGUUCGGUGAAAAUCGCACAAAGUGGGAGAAAUUUCAUAAAAAAUGAGUUUGAAACACAAUGGUUAUAUUUUUGUCUGUUGUCGUUCUAUAAUAACACGCAAUGUGAGUUAAGUCACGCUGGGUUACAACGUAUGUGAGUUAAUUCAUGUUGAAUGUACCGGGCGUGACUUAUGUCACGAACGUGGGGGUACUUUCGUCCAUUCAGUUGGGAGCGAGUAUUUAUUGAUGGGAGAAGAGCAAUUUUCUAAAAACUUUGGGUGUGGUGGAAGAUUCUAAGUGAGGGUUGUAUGUUCUGUUAUGUUAAAAUAACGGAUAACUGAUAAGUUUGCUGAUAGCUGAUAGUUUAUAGCUGAUAGAUGUUGGUUGAUGGCUGAUAACUUAUAGUUUAUAGUUAAUGACUAUUGACUGAUGUUGAUAAGCUAGUUAAAGUGUGCUAAAAUUAACGGUUCAAUUAACUGAUAAAUAUAAAUUGACAUAAAAUGAAUUUUUUUUAUUCAUAAUACUUUUUUGAGAGGACCAAAGCCCAAUUUAAUUGAAAAAUUUAAUAAUUAGAAUUUAUAAAAAAAAAAAUCUGAAAAUAAAAUGUUUACUAGACUUUCCACCCGUGCUGCCGCACGGGUCAUAUACAUUGUAGAUAUAGUAGACAAAAACAAAUCUCAAUGCAUAUCAAAGAGAAUGAAAUAUGUGGUCCCAAAUAUAUGCAGAUGUUGGAAUUCGAACCUCAGACACCACGCUUAUUCACCAAAAAAAUAUUAAUUUUUAUCAAUCGUGUGUUACUUCAUUCCUUUGUUAAAAUUAUAUGUCAAUAUUAUAUUAUUGGUAUGUUACUUCAUAUUUUUCUUUUUUUUUUUGAAAAAAUGUUACUUCAUUCUUUUGUAAAAAUUAUAUGUUAAUGUUAUAUUAUGUACCUAAAAAUAGUUCAUUCUUAACCUCAACAUGUAAAAUGUUUUAUUUAAAUAAUUUUCCUUUUAUCGAAUAUUUGGCCUUUACCGUAAAUGAUACCCUUUAACUGUUUGUUGAAAUGUUUCUUCCACCUGUUUAUAUAGAUUGCAAAAUUCAGGUGCAUUUUGUGGUAAAUAUUUAACAAAGAGAGUUCAAUUCUAAUUUGGAUGAAAAGUGUAAUAUUAACAAAAAAAAAUGUUGCUAUAAUCUUUCAAAACCCUUUUAUUCCAAUAGGGCGAUUUGUUUUGUUGAAGAAAUAGGGCGAUUUGUGUUUUGAAGAAAUAGGGGAAAUAAAGCGAUGCCGAUUUGCUUUGUUCAUGAAAAUAGGAGAUUAGGUGUGAGCAUUAGCGUUGUUCAUGAAAAUAGAAGAUUAGGUGUGAGCAUUAGGGUUAAAACGGUAAAAUUAUGCAACAGGGUUUAGGUUAAAAUUAGGGCUCAUGAAAAUAUGAGAUUAGGUGUGAGCAUUAGGGUUGUUCAUGAAAAUAUAAGAUUAGGUGUGAGCAUUAGGGUUAAAACGGUAAAAUUAUGCAACAGGGUUUAGGUUAAAAUUAGGGCGCAUGAAAAUAUGAGAUUAGGUGUGAGCAUUAGGGUUGUUCAUGAAAAUAUAAGAUUAGGUGUGAGCAUUAGGGUUAAAACGGUAAAAUUAUGAAAUAUGAUUUAGGUUAAAAUUAGGGCUUACGGGUUACCUUUAAUAUAUAAGAAGAUUAGGUGAGAGCAAUAGGAUUGUUCAUGAAAAUAGGAGAUUAGGUGUGAACAUUAGAGUUAAAACAGUAAAAUUAUGCAAUAGAGUUUAGGUUAAAAUUAGGGCUUACUUGUUAACUUUAAUAUAUAACUUUAAUAUAUAAGAAGAUAAGCCCUUAACUUUGCCAAAUCCCCAAAUUGAUUCAACCAAAUUCUUCCUCCCCAAAUUGAAUCAUCAUGCAUCAUUCCUUCAUUAUAUGUCAAUUAACCGGUUGGUAUGAAGUAGAAAAUCGAGCGAUGUUGCAUUAUUUCAUUUACCGAUACAUGCUUAAGCAAAGACCAAGAAAAGAGAACAUGGCAAUAGAGAUGGAAUGGUUCAUUACCUUUUUAGAUUGAAGAAUGGAUUGGGGAGUUACGAUUUUUUUAAAGAGAAAACUAGUUACAAACCCGUGCUUCGCACGGGUUCAAUAACGUUUUUGAUAAAAAAAAAUCGAAAGAAGAUAUGUUAAAACGACGGAACAUUAUGAUUCAUCAUAAAAUAUGUAUGGACUGGUUCCAAAGCAUUAUAAAGAUCUGCUGUAGAAAAAGGGCAUGUUCUAUUUUGUUCAAAAGAUUAUGAAAACAACAUUAUAAUUAACAUGAUACUAAUUUGAACCAAUGAAGAAACCAACAAUGUGCAGAUUAACGUUACAUAAUAGUUAGGUUUAUAAAAGAGACUCCAAGUGUCAAAGACUAACUAAAAAGAGAUUUUUGCCAAUAUUUACUUCAGACAAAAUGAAAAGAACAAAUGACAUCCCAAAGUCAAAAUAGUUUACGAUUACAGACCAAAGCGAUACGUCAAAAUAGUAGAAGUUCAAAUAGUUCAGCAGCAAAUAUCUACUUUAGAACAACUCGAACGUGCAAGUUCUUCGGUGACUUUUCGAGACCAAAUAUGAGCUUACCACCUUCUAUCAUCACACGUUCUCUGCAGAAAUUGAUCCAUAGCCCACCCAAGUAUUUUUCAUAGCUUGCUCUUUCGGCGGUAAUGAGGCGACACUUAUACUUUCUCUGUAUGCGAAUAUAGUUACAUAUAAUUUAUAAAAUAAAGGUAGCUUAACUGAUUUAAGCUAAAGAAAAUGUAUCAUGACUUCUAAUUUAUCUUCCUAUAAAGUCUAGAUAAAUACAUGUAUGUGCAUUAUAUGAACCCCGUUGACCAAUUAACAUUGUUGAAACAAAUGGAAAUUAAGCAUCACUCCCGCAUGUGCAUCUAUAGCUAGCACCAUUUGACAUUGAUGUCUUCGAACAUUUGGUGCAACUCUUAUAAUACCAUCCAAACUGGUUAGGAUUGAAUUUAGUUGUUUUCCAAAUAGUGAUGAAGUAUGUAUCCUAACCCAAAUUAUGCACAUGAAAUAAAGAAUAAUGCAAUAUGUAUUUUUAACUUGUGCAUCAAAAAACUCAAAGCAUGUUCGUGCAUAAAAAAAGCAGACCAUGACUAAGUUUAUAAAUUCAGUAAUUGGCCUAACCUGAGGCAGAUUGAAAAAAUCGUUGUACAAAGUACGUUGAGAAGAAGCCGAACUCUAACUUAAGUUAUGACUGAUACUUUGACUCUGAGCUUGAGAAGUGUUAAGGUCACGACAACAAUUCAAGAAACAUGGUCAAAAAACAAUCAAAUCAAAUUGUGAAAUAAUAAGUUACUCUAAUACUAUAUUUUGAAAUCAUAAUGCAAACUUACUAAGUCUUAAACUUCUCAACAACCGGAUAAUGUAGGUUGAUGAGCAGCCUCGAACCUGACCAAUUGUUACAUAUAUUUGGGUUGCCAAUGACUACAAAAUGGAAGAACUCAAGGUAAAUAGAUGGUAAAUGAUCAAGCUACAGAGUAUUUUUCCCAUAGUGUUACAUCAACUAUAUUCCCACUGCAUAAGGAAAGACAUCUUUCAGGUCAUUAUCAAACUUAUACAAAAUUCUAUCAUCUGACGUUGACAAAUUAGAAAAUAAUACCUUUUAUCUUUCAACACAAUGUUCGUACACGGUUUCUUUCUAGUCCCAAUUGGUGUUGUCUUGACAAUCUCAUGAAGAAGCCCGAUGAUUUCUUAAAAAAAAAUUACAUCUAUAAUAAUAUUAUAAUCGGAGAAAACAAAGAAAUAAAUUAAAGCACAUAACUAUAUCAUAUAAAAUGUCAGAUUUGAAUUUUCCAUCUUGAAUUUCCUUAAAUGACUUAAAACGAAAUUCAUGAGUAAGAACGUUAGUUAACUUGUCAUACUUCUGCACCUUUGUAUCAGAACCAAAAACAACCCUAAAGAGAUUAAAUACAAUGUCCUUAUCAAACACAUGACAAUUAUACAAAGUAUAAGUCUUGUUUUCCUCGAUCAAAGCCUUUCAAUGCUCCAAUUCUCUAUACCGAGUUAUUACAUGAACUCGAUCACCCUAAAUUCGAGAAAGAAACCAAAAAAUGUAAAUAAAUCAAAAUGUACACUAAUAAGUAACAUUGAUAAAUCAUAAAGGAAAUUACAACAAAUCUUAACUAACUCAUCUAAUCUUUGCAUCACAAAUAAUGAGCUUCAUAUGUUGAUUCUCAUUACUACCAUUUACAAUCCAAGAAUCCAGCACUCCAAAUCCUAUUUUCCAAAUGUCCAAAUCAUUUUUUAGAUCCUUAAUGUAGUCAUAAUCCCUUGACAUCGAAAGUCCUAUAUAAAGAUACAAUAAUACAUCAUUUAAUUUUAUUCCCUUUGUUCAUUCUGAUAUCGAAAGAAGCUAACAUAUCCUAUGUGAUCAAUUUUUGUAUCAUCAAAUCAACCUGAUCUUAAAUGCACAAAUUUCUGAAUCAUCAACUUUUUGGACGUCAAUGAUAUGACCAAAACAAAUUUCACCAAUCAACUUUUGUACGGCUCAAUCAUAUAGGAAAGAAUAAACCAAAUAUGAAAAUUGUUAUGGCUUUAUGAUUACUCACAAAAACUAAAAUAACCCACAUACAUCAAUUUUUUUUCAACCACAGUACCAGAAGCUAAAAUAACAAUUGUGUCAAAACCUUAUCAUGAGCUAAAAUUCAAUCAUCAUGAUUUAUCAAUGUUACUUAUUAGUGUACAUUUUGGUGUCUUUCAAAAAGAUAAGAAUUUAUAUUAUAUGAUAUUAUAUUUGUUACAUUGUUGGUGCCAUGGAAACAUAUAUGUUUAGUUUUUUCGAAUAAGAAGAAGAUAUGCAUAGUUUGUUAUAAUAUAAGGGUGCAAAAUAUAUAUAUAAGUAUAAUUUUUCUAGGCAUCUAGACCUUUUUUGAAGAUAAGAAUAAAAAUAAUCAUACGCAUUAUGCAACGUCAAAAAAAAUUAUACGCAGUAGCGUAACAAAAAAACAGACACAUAUAAAGUAUUACUCUAAGCGCUAAUAUGUGUGUUCGUAUAUAUUUGCGAGGUUGAAGAAAGAAAAUAAAAAUAUUUGGUAUCAUUAAAUGACAGCGUGAAUAAAAAUAUUUGUAAGGUUGUGAUGAUUAAACAAUAUUGAAUUUAAAUGUAUAAGUGAUAAAAAGAUAAUAAAAUUCCUUUGAAAAAAAAGGUAAUAAAAUUAAAUGGGACCUCCUUAAAAAAAAUUAAAUGGAACGAUUCCAAAAAAAAUUAAAUGGAAGAAAAAAUCAUAUUGAAAUAUAAUAUUAAAAAAUAAAAGAAAAGGUUCCCAGUGUGAGUUGAAAAGAUGUGCUUUUGAAAUAAAUUGUCGAGAAGUAGUUUUUUAAAGUAACAUUCAACAACUUUUGGCCAAAGCUCAUUCCAUUCAAUUUUAUGCAUUAAAAAAAAAUUACUUUUUGUAGUAAGUACUUAAUUGAUAUUGUGUUUGUGUUUGACCUAACUUCUCCUUAAAAAUGUAGAAAAGUUGGAAAAAAAGCCGGGUCAAACGAUACCUUAUUCUCCUACAACGGCAAUGUAGAAGCAACUUAAUUUUGGACAAAAAAUUGAAAAAUAGUUAAAAACAUAAAAAUUGGAAAUAAAAUAUUUGGUAUCAUUUAAUGACAGCGUGAAUAAAAAUAUUUGUGGAGUUGUGAUGAUUAAACAAUAUUGAAAUUAAAUAUAUAUGCGAUAAAAAGAUAAUAAAAUUAAAUGGAACAUUCUUAAAAAAUUAAAUGGAACGGUUCAAAAAAAAAAGUUAAAUGGAAGGAAAAAAACAUAUUGAAAUAUAAUAUUAAACAAUAAAAGAAAAGGUUCCCAGCGUGAGUUAAAAAGAGGUGCUUGUGAAAUAAAUUGUCGAGAAGUAGUUUUUUUAAAGUAACAUUGAACAAAUUUUGGCCAAAGCUCAUUCCAUUCAAUUUUAUGCAUUCAAAAAAAUACAUUUUUUUAGUAAGUAAAUAGCGUGAGUUAAAAAGAGGUGCUUGUGAAAUAAAUUAUCGAGAAGUAGUUUUUAAAGUAACAUUCAAUAAUUUUUGGCCAAAGCUCAUUCCAUUCAAUUUUAUAUUCAAAAAAAUUUCUUUUUUUUAGUAAGUAAUUAAUUGAUACUAUGUUUGACCUAACUUCUCCUUAAAAAUGUAGAAAAGUUGAAAAAAUAAAAACCGGGUCAAGCGAUACCUUAAUCUUCUACAACGACAAUGUAGAAGCAACUGAAUUUGGGAUAAAAAAUUAAAAAAUAGUUAAAGUUAUCAAAAAUAUAAAAAUUAUAAAAUAAUUAAAAAAAUUGUGAGGGGCAAAAUGGGAAAUGCACCCAUAUAAUGGUGAGGUGGCAACAACACAAUUCCACCAAUUAGAAAAUUACAAAAAUACCCCUCCUAGGGGCAAAAUGGGAAAUUUAUAGAGCAUCAACUUUAAUAGUAGUAAGUAUAUAGAUAAGAAGAUGAAUGUGCAUCAUCAUCUUAGAAUGACAAAACAAUUAUUCUUUUUCUUUUUAUGGAGGAACGAUGGAUGCUUCAAUUUGGGGAGGAAGAAGGAGGAAGGAUUUUGUGUGAAUCAAUUUGGGGAUUUUGCAAAGGUAGGGUUCUUCAAUUAUAAACAUUUUAUUUUCAGAUUUUUUUUUUUUUAUAAAUUCUAAUUAUUAAAAUUUUUAAUUUAAUUUUACUAUUAAUGAUGUGGAAAUGAUGUGUCUAAUAAUGGUAUCAUGUUAGCAAUGUAAUAUAAUGUCAUUAAUGAACGCGCUACAUCAUUCAAAAAAAAAAGGAGGACAAUAAAUUUUUGUUGACAUUUUAAAUAGGAGAUCAAAAUGUUGGUUUUAGAAAAUGGAGUAUAAAAAAUUAACAAAAUUGAGAAAUGGAACAAAAGAUAAUAAACUAUAAGUUCAAAUGUUAUUUAAAAUAGCGUCUGAAAAAUAAGUUAUAUUAGUUCGUUAUGAAAAGAGACAGAUGUCAAACAGGACUUUUUGAUCAAACGACUUAUAAGCUAUAAACUCUUCUCUAUAAGCUACCUCUUUGCCCAUAGCAAACAGACCCGUGAGUGUGGGGGGAGGAGGAUGGUUUUGUCCAAUAACACCACCAAUAGGCUUGCGGAUAAUUAUAGAUGGAGGAAGGGGGUAUGAGUAUGAUAGUUCCGGAAACACUUGGAGGGAGUAGGUAGGAAAUAGUUGGAUGCAGUAGGGAUUAGUAGAACAUGAAGAAGCAGAUGUGUUGAAUAAAGGAAGAAGGGAGAAAGCAACUAGUGAUCAAUGAUUGUGUUGAUUUAUAAUGAGAGGCUUGGAGAGAUCGAAAAGGAAAAUGAUUAACUAGUUGGUGCGCCAAAAAAAGGUAGAUGUCAGGGUGUGCUUGGAGUGGAGAUUCUUAAAAAAUGUUGCUUUGACAAUAAUAUAUAUUCUAAAUGUGAUAUAAUGGCAAAGACGAGGUUGUGCGGGAAUCUUUUGAUGGUUAGAAAUACUUUGUGAGAAGGAGAAUGGUGUUCGAUGGAUGAUUUAAUACGCGUGUAGUUCGGAAAGGGGGAAGGGGAAUAAAUUUGGAAGCUUCUUUGGGACAACAGUUAGAAAUGAAUAUUUUCAAUAAGGGAGGUGGACUUGGUGGAUGUGACCCCUCUAGAUCGUAGAUUUACUUGGUAUAAUUUAAAUGGGAGUGCGAUGAGUCAUAUUGAUAAAGGUCAAAUUAAAAGAAAAAAUGUUACAAUAAAACACAGUAUUUAUUUAAGGGGAAAAUAUUUUUUUUAUAAUGUCGAAGUUACAUGCUAACAUGAUACGACACUGUUUUAAUUCGAAGGUGUGUUAAAACCUAGCAGCAGAUCAAAGGUACAGUACAACCACAAACCCAAGGUUACUUGCUUUCCAAGGCCACAAAAGGGACCUUUAACUCUGCUAUACUCUAUUUUGUGUAAAAUAGAGUGCACAUCGAUCUUCCCCUCAGAUAUACACUAUUUUGUGCUUCAAUAAAAAUUGAAGUGUUUCAAUUAUAAAAAUUUGUGAAGCGAAAACAAAGUAUUAACCGUUAAAAUUGUGAAGCGAAAACAAUGUAUUAACCGUUAACUAUGUGAAAUGAAAACAGAGAGAAUUGAUAUAAAUCUCGUAUUCAUAUCGCAUAUUCUGUGAUUUAACUAUGUGUACAAGAAGGUUUAAUAUUAACUAACUGUGAUAGAUUCUAGAUGACUCCUACAUUUCUAAUAUUAACUUCACUUGUUCUGUACAUUCUACAUUGUUACAGAAUUUGCCAAAUUUUCAGAAAAUUACAGAAUCUGUCCAUUAUACCUUGUUACUGAUGUAAAAGCUUGUCAAGUGUUGAUUCAUCAAUUUUUAUCUCUUAAGAAACAGAGCUUUAAGUGUGAGUGGAUGCACCUCACUUAAGAGCUUUUGAACAAGCAUUUGUUCACCAUUUCUCUGAGAAUUGUAUAUAUGUCGCUUGUUGCUCUAGGGCCUGUUUGAGUAAGAGUCAGAGGCAUAUAGCAGUAAAGAUAUUAUCAGAAGGCAUCAUCAGAUCCUAUUUUACAGCACUUGAUAUGUUUUUCAUCUCUUAAUCAUUUGAGAGUGAAAUAUCAUUUAUGGACUAAUCUUUGAACCAGCAGGCAGGAUUUCGGAAGCAAGUAUUUGAGGCUUUUGUGAGCAAUUGUUUGGUGCCUAAAGAGUAACCUUCGAAUAUCACUCCUUCCACAUUUUUUUCUCCUUUUCAGCUGUUGCUUUUGCCUUCUGUCGAACCAAGCAAAGUGUUCAUGUGCUCUCCACCAAAUCCAAUAUGCAUAAGCUCUUCAAGUAAAGACCUACUCAUAAACCAAAUUAUUUUGCAGUACCAUAAAAUGGAACAGAGUCAAUAAACUAAAUUUAUUCCCUAAGUUAUCGGUAUAAUGAGUGCGAGGAAGAUUAUGUACCUCAUAUCAUAUGUUUCAUCUAAUUCGAAGUUUGAUGGCAGAGUUCCAAAGAUGUCUAGCUUUAAUUUGUUUGAUGGAGGAAUUGUUUCUUCUAGAUCAUCUGAUUCAAAAUUUGUUGGAGGAAUUGUUUCUUCUCGAUGAUUGGAUUGAAAAUUUGAUGAAGAUGCAGAUGCAGUUUCUUCUUGAUCAUGAGAUUCAAAAAUUGUUGAAGGAAUAGUUUCUUCCUUAUAUAUCCAGUGAAAUCCACACUCUUUUAUCGAUACUUCAUCAUAUAGAUCUUCUUCAAUAAAGAAUCUAAAUGUAAGCUUUGGAUUGCAACUAGUGCUGUUCACAUCAUUAAUGGAUUUUAUUUCUUCAACUGCUGCCAUUAUCUGCUUGCAACUUGCUUGAUCAUACCAAGAAACCAAAUGAUCCGAUAUCAUGUGGAUUGAUGGAUCGAAACGCAAUAACCAACUGAAGAAAUUUGCUCUUGUGAAACUUGUUAUAUAGAUUCUUUCACCUGAACUAUUGUCCAAAUAGCACUCACAUCCAAAAUCCACAUCAUAUCCCAUAUGGCCUUGAGAAAGAACCAAGUAGUACGAAAAUCCCUGUAAAUUAGACGGAAGCUCAAGAGUGACACAAACUUGUGUAGAAGAGUAAUGGAACCAAUUUUCCAUGCCAGGCAUAGCAGGUAAAAAGUACCAAAUAAUUUCAUCAUCAUCAUAUAAAGAUGGUCCAGUUUCAAUUCUAUCCAUAGCAUCUUUCAAAACUGUUUGGUAUGAAUGUGGUUCCAAAUUUUUGCAGUUAAGGAGAUAAAUAAAACAAGGAUUGGGUUCCUCAUAUGGUUCAAUCGUUGAACUCAACACUUUCUCAAGAGAUUCACAAUUCGAGACAACCAAAACUGGAAUGAACUGUGAAAGUGCCGGAAUAGAUUGAAUCAUUUUACAAUCGUAAACAUCAACACGUUCAAGUCGGGGAAGAUACUUAAUGGUUUCAGGCAAGCUUCUAAUGUCCAUACCAUCCAGUGUUAAAGACUUUAACGACGAUAGUAAGGAGAUACUAUCUGGGAAUUCAGACAAUAUAGGAAUAUAAAUAAAGGUUAAUUCUUUUACACUCUGGAAGGCAGGACUAGAAAAUAAUUUAUCUAAGGUGAUAAAAGGGUCAUCUUCACGAUUCUGUGGACUCGAAAGCGAAAUAUGAUCGGCAAAGUUUUCUGGAAGAUCCACAAGACAAUCACUGAUUGGAAAGACAAACCGUUUAAGGUUUUGUUUAUGCAAUAUUGACGAUGGAAGUUCAUUCCGAUCCCACUCUGAUAAACACAAAUCCAAACCAUCAACGGAUGAAAAUGUGACUGAGAACUCUUUGAGAUUGAUGCAAUCCCUAGCUUCCAAUUUCCGGAGCGCUGGUGAACAAGUGUUACUCGAAAGGCUCUUAAGCGAUGUACACUCGAAUACAUUUAAAACUUCAAGCUUUUGGAGAAGGAAAAUUGAUGAAUCAACUUCAGGCAUGCUUUCACAAUAACGAAGUAUUACAUGUUUUAGAUUUGGGGAACCCGACACAUUUGGACACUCUAUCAGCUUUUUGGAGCCACCGAGGUCAAGUAUCUCUAAAUUUGGCAAAUCCUAUAACAAUAUACAAUUGGUCAAACAAGUUAGUGCAUUUUCUUAAAUUCUAUAGAUUUCACAACCAAGAAGGGGGAAUAAGUAUAAAGGCUCACAUGCAUUUUUUGUUUUCCUAUUUUGAUAAAACCACAAUUUUGGUCAGCCAUUUCUAAUUAUGCAAUUUUGAUCACCUAUUUUCUAAUUACGCAAUUUUGGUCCCUAAUUUUUAGAAAUUGGGAGUAUAUAUGUAAAAGAGUCUUGCUAAUGAAUGCUCACCAUCAUUUUCCAUUAUAAAAUACUUAAAACUUUUAACAAAACCAAAAAAAAUACAAGGAUCAUACUUACCAGUACUCCAUUCCAAAGUUUUUCCACAUGGCUUCCUUUCAAUGAAAGCUCCACAAGCAUUUCAGGACAAAAGGUGGAAGGCAAAGAUUGCAAUGGAUAGCCAUCCCAUUGAAAAUAUCUUAAAUUUUCUGGCAAUAAAUCAAGACCAUGUGGAAGGUUUAUAGAUUUAAUUCCCUUGUUGUCUUGAAAAGCAAGUAACCUUAGAUUUACCAUCUUUUCAAAUGAUUCAGGUCUUAAAUUAAUAUGUGUGAAUUCAGUAGCAUCUAAAAAUAUGGAUUCAACAUUCUCAGAUCCCUGUAAAAAAGUAAAUCUCAACGUUAGUAUUUCCGUAGGAAGUUGCAUUUUGUAUAUAAAGAUCAUAUGAAUAGGAAGGCAAGUGAGGGCAUCUCUUACUCUAUUAUUUUUCAAUACAUUACAAACUUCCUUAGGAUCACAUAAUCUACUGCGUUGUCCGGGAUUCUUAAGUGAUUCUUCACGAACAAUUUGUUUUCCUGUUUCUUGUAUCAAGUCAUGCAUUUGUAUGCAAUUUUCAAAGUCAACGCUUAUAAGAGCCUUGUCUAAAAGAUUACUUAUCCCUAUAUCAGCAAAGAAACCACACUCAUUUAAUAUUUUUGUUAUUCUAUUCCUUUCAUGUCCUUUGAAAAAGCACGCAAUGUCUAAAAAUAUAUCUUUCUCUUUAUCAUCCAAUUCAUUAUAACUCAAUCUGAAUAUAAAAUCAAUUUCAGUGUUUGGAAUUUCUUUCAGUUUAGCCAGUGCACAAUCCCAUUCAAUUUCACUUUUACAACGAAGUAAUGAUCCCAAUACUUUCAAAGCUAAAGGAUUUCCUUUGGCAUAAUCAACUGCUCUUUUUGAGAGCUCCACAUAUCCAUCCUUAGGUGAGACUUUUCCAAAAGCAUUCAAGCUGAAAAGCUGGAGGGAAUUUUGGGAAUUCAUCUUCUUAACUUCAUAAAUUUUUUCAAUCCCUCCACUUAUCAAGACAUGCUUAUCCCUAGUCGUCACAAUGACUGUGCUACCAGAUCCUAGCCAACCAUGUCCUACUCCAAUCAAGUUUUGCAGAAGUUCUGAAUUAUGUACAUCAUCUAUUACAAUGAAAGAUUUCAUGCGUUUGAGUCUUCUCAUGAUCAUUGAUGGUAUUAAUUUGGAAGUAUCAAUAUCAAGAUCUUCCCUGAGUAACUUGGAAAGAAGUUUGUUGCAUGUGUAAUUGAUCCCAUGUCUCUUUGAUACUUCUGUUACCUUUUCUAAGAAGCAACUGCCUUCAUAUUUAAAAGAGACCCUUUGAAACAUAGCAGCAGCAAGGGUUGUCUUACCUGUGCCUCCCAUACCCCAAAGUCCAAUGAUUUGAACUUCUGUUAGAUCAGAUUUUAUUAAAGAUUGAAUGCUCCAAUAGUUUUCAUCAAGUAUGAAAUUACAUGGAAGAUCAUUUGUAUACUGUUGAUUUAAUUUUCCUAAUACAGCUCUAGUAAUGGCUUCAAUCAUUUCAGAUUCAGUCCUAACAUGUGCAAAAAAAAAAAAAAAAAGUUAAUACAUAUCAUAUGAAUGCCAACCAAAGGUAAAAUCCAAUUCUUCAUCUGAAUCUUAGAAUUAAAAUAUUAGGAAAAACUAACAAAAUACUCAAACAUUCACACAAUUCAUUUUCAUUUAUAUGCAUUUACAGAACAUACAUGUAUUGAAUUGGGCUUGAUCCUUAAGUGUACUUAAAUUAACAUUUUUGUUGAUCAAAGAUAAUUUUCAACCAAAUAGUAUGUCAGGAAAGGCUGUUACCAGACCAAAAUUAUAAUCGACGUAAUUCUCAAUAUAAAAAUAUCAUCAACAUUAAUGAUUAAAAAUAUAAAGCACAUGGGAAUAAACAUGUAUUUACAAAUGAUUAUUUUACUUUAUUAGAUCCUACAUAGUCUCUUUAGUUUCUGUUGUGAAUCCGGUUGAAACUCACACCAAUGAAAUAAACAAUGAUGUGUGGAGCAAGUGAUAGUGGUAAUCAAUGAGAACAAAUGGUUUCCAAGCAAACAACAACAAAGCAGCCCUAGACUAGUGUAUAGCAAAACCACACUAAGAGAUAACAAAGCAUAAACAAGAUAAGCAAGAAAGGAAGAACAAAACACCGAGAAGAUUGUUGACCCAGUUCAGCCAAUAUGGCCUAAUCUGGGGGAGAGAGCAGCUCUCCAAUCCAAUAUGAGAAAGUGUUACAAAAGGUUACAAGAAACUCUAGCCUUCAAGCUUUACACAAGACAAACCCUAGAUUCUACCCUUUGGUGUUUCCCCACUCUCACAAGAUGAACCCUAAAAAAGAGAAGUCACUAGAGGAAGCUUUUGAUCCUUCCAACUAAUGAACUCCUCACUACCCAAGGUGAUUACAAUGUUUUUCCCAACCCAAGAGACACUCUCAACAAAGACACUCAACCCUUUGGUUCCCUCCUUUGCUAUCCAAGUUCUAUCUCUAAGCUCUUCCAAGCUCUCUCUCAAAAAAGCACAAGAACACAAUAUAUACUAGUCUUCCUCUGAAGAAAUUGUGCCACGAUUUCCCACAAUCGUGUCACGAUUUGCAUCUGACCCAAGGUUGACAAGUCCUUAUUAGUGAUACUUAACGAGCAAGUUUCUGAAUCGUGUCACGAUUUCCCAAGAUCGUGCCACGAUUUGGCGUCCUGCAAACUAGCUCACGGCACCUUGAAAUCGUGUCACGAUGCCAAAAUCGUGUCAUGAUUUCUCUGUUCUUCCAGACCACAAAUUUGAAGCCAAUAACAACAGUUUCUUUAGUUUGUUAGUCUCUUAGUCUUAACUUGUUGUUGUCGUCGUUGUCUAUUAUGAUCAUGUUGAGUUUAUUGUCUUUCUAGUUCCUACCCACCGUGUAUUUUUUCGUGUGAACUAAGUAGGUAUCAUAUACGCACAAUUGCAAAGAAUAAUCUUUCAAGUUGCAUAUGAUUAUAAUAGAUGGUAAAACUGUCCUUCAAAAAAUUUAUUUAAUGAUGUUGCAUUUCAUGAUUUAAGAUAUUCGGUGAUUCUUUCCUUUUCAUAUUAGUAACAUAUUUUACUAAAAAUACAAGGGAAUCUAGUUACCCAAGAGUAACAUAUUCUGUCCUUCAAAAUUGAUUUAAGUUGUUAUUUUCUAGUUUGCACUCAACUUGAAUAUGCUUCUAAACCUUAUGAUUUUUUAGCGAUUUAUUUUUUUUGCGUUUUCAUCAUAGUCAAUAGAUCAUAUAGCGUCAAUCUUCACUCAAUUGCGAUCAAUUAGCAAAUUUGAUAGGUUUUGAUGAUGAUGGAUAAUUGAAAGGUGGGGAUUCCGCAUUCAGAUGGAUGAGUGGGUUGAGAUUGGUGGUUCGGUUAGGUAAUCAGGGUUAUGUAAAACAAAAUGUUAAAUGAGCAAUAAUUCGGUAGUUAUCUAACGGAGGUAGAAAAUCGAAAUUUUUAAAAUGAACAUCCGAUAGUUAUCUACCGGAUGUACAAAAUAGAUUUUUUUUUUCUUUUUAAAAUGAACAUCCGGUAGUUAUCUACCGGCUGUACAAAAUGAUAUUUUUUUAUAUGAACAUCUGAUAGUUAUCUACUUGACGUGUUAUUAAGGACAAUUUCAUAAUUUUAAGAGGUCUAAAGAGAUAUGAGAGGGGGGGCCUAAAAAGAACCUUCCUUGUUAGUUUACCUAGAAGCAAUAUAAUUAAUGCAAAAUUACCAUAGGGUUCAUUCUCAAGACACCAAAAACACAUUACCUCGUGCAUUUUUAUACGUUAGAUUUUUUUUUUGUUAAACCUUUGUUUCUAAGGGAAGGUGCCUCUUUUUUUUUUUUUUUUUUUUAUAUUUUUUAUAAUUUCUUUUAACCCUAUUGUUGAAAUAAAUAAAUAAUUUUUCAUCUCCCUUUCUUUCUCUGGCCCUCCAUCAUAUACUUUCUUUCUUUCAUCUUUGUGUUCUCUUUACCUGCUUUGGUUGUUUUUUUUCCAUAUCAUUUUUUUUUUGUGCUUUAUAUAUAUAGGAAUAGUACUAUAUUAUUAGAGUUUUGCGUCGGGGGUUUACUAGUAUAAAUUCCAUACUGAAGUUUUAUUGCAUAAGAUUUUCUAUGAUAUAAUAGGAAUUUUUUUACUGAAAUAUUCUUAUUUCUUUCAUUGUAUUCUUAUGUGAUUAGGUGCUUUUAGAUGUGAACAAUGAAUUGUAACAAUUUCCUUUAAAAAAUAAAGAAUUGUAACAAUCUUUUAGAUAUUUAUUAAUUAAUUAUCGAUUUUAAUCACAGAACCAUGAUUUAGAGGUUUCUUCGGUUCGAUCUCCGAUCUGAUUUUUACAACAUUGAUAUUAAUUUGACGGGCAGACCGAUAAAAUUUAAUUUUAAUGUAUGCAAAAACAGAAAAACCUGUAUGUGGUGGAAUGAAAACCAGACAAAUUAGCUGCUUGAAAAAGAGCAUUCUUCCAAUUUUGCAUCAUCUUAUCAUCAUUUUUGCCUUGUUUCUUGUGUUUAAUCAACGCAGUGCCAUAACUACCAGUCUGCUUCCGCACGUGUGAAGGGUCAACAUGGUAGAACACUGGAAUAACAACAACCUUGUCAUCUUCAUUUUUGUUACAACACUCCAUUAUUUCAACAAGUUCGUUCAAACACCAUGUUGAAGAGGCAUAGUUUUCCGAGAACACCACAAGAAAUAUAGUGGAUUGUUUGAUUGCUUUCACUAGUUCUACCCAAACUUCAUCUCCUUUCUCGAUCCUGUAGUCUAUGUAGGUAUAAAUCUUGCUUCGGCACAAAUCAGCGUAAAGAUGGCUUGUGAAUCCAGCGCGAGUGUCAUCACCUCUAAAGCUGAUGAAAACAUCAUAUUUCUUCAUAGGCAUAGUAGCAGCAUGAGAAGAAGAAGAAGAAGAAGAAGAAGAAGAAGAAGAAGAAGAAGAAGCCAUAUAAUCUAUGAGUUAUUGUCCUUAGAAUGUGGGAAUACCCACAUGUAUAAAAGCACAUUUUCAUAAUGUGUGUGGACCCUUCUUUAAGCACUUUGCAGAAAAAUGGGAUGAUAAAGUGGAACACCAUGAGUGAUGCCUUUACUUUUUCUUUUGAUUUAUAGCAUAUGAUUUAUUCCUUUUUUUUUGGCAGUAUUUUUUUUAUAGUAAGGUUAGCAGUUACCGGAUGGAAUAUGGGAUUUCUUAGAAUUCCUUCUUUUUUUAGUGGUGGCCGGGGUUCGAAUUUCGGACCUUGCAUAUUUUAUGCAUUGUCCUUAUCAACUGAGCUAAGCUCACGAGGACUUAGAAUUCCUUCGAUGUUUCUUUAAAAGUAUUUAUUUUUGUUGAAUGAAAUUUUAUGUUUGUUUUGAUCCGAUAAAAGUGAAUAUCCAGUAAAAAUUGCAUUUAUCUAGUAUGUUUUACUGUUUUUAUGUUAUGUGAUCUAUUUGUUUCUUCUAUUUAUGUAGUGAUAAUUUUAAUUUUUUUUUUUUUUUUUUUGUGCUUUAGUUAGGAAAGAGGAAUGGGUUCUGAUGGAAUCAAAGCUAAUUUGAGAUUUUGACAUUUGAGGAUUAGAAUUUUAUUCUCUUAUAUUUAGGAAUCAAAGCCAAUUUGUCUUGAAGAAUUUUAUCUUGAAGAAUAAAUGUGUGAAAAAUUUGAGAAUUUUAUUCUUUUAUCGUGUGAAGAAUAAUUCUAAUAUGGAAUUGAAGAUAAUAUUUUGGCCAUCUCAACAAACAAGAACAUUAAUGUGAAAAAAUCCGAAUUUAAAAAAUAUGUAGGUUGUAGGAAUUACAUUUUAGUUCAUAAUCAAUCCAAAAAGAGACUCUGUAUCCGAUGUAAUCUAUCAAUUUGAAUGAAUGAAUAUCAUUUAUUUUUGUCAAAAAAAAGAACAUUAAUGUGAUUAAUAACGGCAGACCUUGGUAGAUGAUGGAUAUAGAACACGAGGAUAAUGAUAAUUUAUCUCAUGUGCAUAAAACACUAAGGGUGUGUUUGGAUUGAGGGUUUAGGAGGCGAAGGAGGGAGGAAUUUACAUUUUUUUUAAUUACGGACUAUAUAACAUGUUUUUCUAAAAUAAAUUAAGUGUGAUUGAAGUAUUAUACGAUCGUUUAUCAAGUUAAUAUGUUAAUUUUUUUAAAAACAUUUCAUAGUGUCCGUAUUUUAAAAAUGAAAAACCACCAAAUUAAGUGGUCGAGUUUAUUAUGACGUUGGUAGUCUGUUACGGCUAACCUUAAUGGUUUUGGGUCUUUUAGCAACACUUAUGAAGUGUUACAAAUUUAUUUCUUGCCUGUGAUUCAUCGAAGAGGCAUUCCACAAAGUUCAUUUAAUUAUCUUACCAUCAUUUAAUCUCUUCAUGAAUUACAUGUUCCCCGCAGAUUCAUUGUCUUUUACCCCAUUUCUCUUAAUAUAUUAUCUAUUUAGUGAGAAAUAAAAAAAAAAUUGUGAUACUACUCCUAAUUAAAAGUUAAUAUACUAAUUUGUUUAAUGAAAUAGACGAAUAACCAUGUUAUCAUGGAACAUGUUCCUUCCUUAAAAAUAAAACCUUGUUAUGAUGGUGUUGCAAGAAUUUUCUCUACUUUUGGCACAUCCGUUAUAUAGAUUCGAAGAUAACCCGUAAUCAAUAUAUAGGAGGCAAUGCUAGAACAUCAAUCAUUCAUACCAUGAGCCCUACAUGCAUGGAGUUAUGUUGAACAAACCAAAAACACCCUCCCAUUUGAAAGGUGUGCUAAAGAAGUGGCAACUAGUUCUAGAACGGUUGUAUUUGACUUUAAUGAUUAUUUAAUCAGUGAUACAAGAUAGACCUAAAUGAGAAAAGCACUAUUCACAGUUUCUUAAAUUUGUCUAUUUAAACCCAUGUUUAAUCGUCGACAAUUAAGUACCUUCAAAAUAUGUUUUAGGUGAAUAGUUUUUACAAUCAUGCCUAAUCAGUUUUGAUAAGAAAGGCUCAUUAUAAUUAUAAAAAUAAAAAAAAAAAUUAAAUAGCUUGGAUAUAACAGCGAAAUUGCUAGGAAUUUUAGCUAGAGUUUUACUGCAAAAUUGUUGUGACGAUAUAUCCUAGCGAUAUAGUUACGACACAUAAACUUUUGAACAAUAUUUUACUAUAAUUUAAUUGGUAAUUAGCUACAAUUUUUUCAUAUAUUAUUUUCAUUUUAGCUAGUAAAUAUUUUGCCAGAUCAUUUUCCGUUCAAUGCAUGCUAUGACAGCUAAUUCAUAAUUAUUCUCUAGCUAAAUGUAUUUGCGCUAGAGAUUAGCUACAAAUUUGCUUAGAUUUCAAUCUUGCAGCUAAUGGCAGAUUUUCUUGUAGUGCACGCAUAAUGAUUUUGAUUUAUUAUAUUGCCUAACUAUAAUUUAUCAUGUCAUUUUUUGUGCCGAUCAAGAUUCACUUCAAUCAAUAUUUUACCACAUUCACACAUUCGAAAUAUCUACAGUAGUUGGAUCAAGAUCAAAAGAUCAUGAUCUAACGACCGCUGAUAUGCCAAAGAUGAAUGUAGAAAAAAUAUUAAAUACUGAGGCUGAAUUAAAAUAUUAGGAAGAACAAGAACAAGACAAAUACAAUCUAUGUAUAGUAUACCAUAUAUUUUGCAAAUUAAACAGUGAGAUUUGUGGUCACAACUACAAACUAAAUAGGAAAUAAUUUGAAAUGAACCUAAAAAUAAGUGGUUUCCCUAGAGAAAGUCGAAGAUUUAAAAUCAAGGCCGCAAAGGAAACCUGUAAUUUCAAACCAUGAAGGCACUAAAUGUAGGUGGCAAUGACACGAAAUCUAACCAUUUUGAAGUUCUAACUCCCUUCUUAGUAGUGGCGGAGCCUUUCAUGGGCUGGGGUGGGCCACGGCCCACCCGAAAAAAUUAAAAAAUCAACAAUUAUAGGUCUAUUUUGUGAGAUUUUAUGCAAUUUUGUGUCGAUUUUAUGUUUUGGUUGAUCCAAAUUCUUGCAAAGUGGUGUAGUGGCCCACCCGAAAAUUUAAAUAAUUCAAUUAUAGUUUUAUUUUGCGAGAAUUUAUACAAUUUUAUGUCGAUUUUAGGUUUCGGAUGAUCCAAAUUCCCGCAAAUUGGUGUAGUGGCCCACCCGAAAAAUUUAAAUAAUUCAAUUAAAGGUCUAAUUUGCGAGACUUUAAACAAUUUUUCAAUAGUUACUUUUAGUGGCCCACCCUGACAUUUUUUUUCUGGCUCCGCCACUGCUUCUUAGCCAUUAUUUCAUUAGUUAAAUUUACUUUGAAAUCCAGAAGUCCUAGCUCAACUGGCAAAAUGCCGAAAUUGUUAGGCCGGAUGUCAUGACCGGGGUUCGAACCCCGGUACCUCCACUUGUGUGUGUGAGUUUAUAAUGGCUUUGCCAUUUCGUCUAUCUACCAAAAAAAAAAAUUACUUUGAAAAUUGAGAUUCACUUUGUAGCCAUGAAACGGUUUUAUAACAGAGUGAAUUUGAGAUUCACUUUGAUAUAUAUAUAUAUAUAUAUAUAUAUAUAUAUAUAUAUAUAUAUAUGUAGUUUCUUUGGAAACAAAUAGGUCAUGGAAGGAAAUGGGAGAUGCAGAGAAGAGCCGGUCGAUAGAAAAAGACUAUUGUUUUUUGGUAUUGUCGAUCUUACUAACAUCUUGUUUUAAUUUUUUUUUACUCUUUCAAUUAUUUAAAUAUUUAGUAUGUAUAUUUUUAUCAUUGAAUUAGAUUUUAUCCUUUAUUUAGUAGAAAAUUAAUUUCAGUAUAAAUAUCAUAAAUUAAUUUUUAUUCGAAUUUGUAGUGGUAAAUAAAAAUAAACGAAUUAAAUUUAAUAAAUAGUAUUAGGUUCUAGUGAAAAACACAAAACUGUUGGUAAAAGGCAUGUUUUUUUUGCUACUUUUAUUCAUGACGUUUACGCACCGGAUAAACCGUAGGUAGAACUUAAAACUUUUGGUGACAGUCACUUGAACUUUUCCUCUCAGACACAACCCUUGAAAUUGGGCGUACGUAAUUGACGCCUUUUUCUAGUAUUGAAGGACUUCUAUGGACAAAUAUUAUCUUUCUGUUGAUGUCAAAUUUCUUGAAGUGAUAUGUUGGGGGUAUAAGUGUGAAUAGUUUGUUGGAACAAAAUGUGUUUCACAAUGAACCUUAAUGAGUUUUGAUGAUAACAUGGUAUUAAAAAUUGUCAAUUGGUUAUUACUAAUUAUUGUUCAAGUGUACAGGACCAAAGGCUAGUCAAGUAAUUUCAACAGGUCUUGGAAGAACAAUGAAAAGCAAAAGAAUUCCAAGCAUCUGAAGAAAACUGCUCCUGAAGUUGAAGUGCUUCUGAAGUGAUGACGUCAUCAGAAGCAAGGUUUUCAUCAGAAGCUAUAUCUUCACCAGAAGCUACAUUUGAUCCUUUAAUCAAUCUGAAGAUUCAAAGUAGCUGGUUCUCAAUUCAAUCUUAUCUAAGAAGAACGAAGAAUUGAAAGGGAUGUACCAACGGUCAUAUGGAUAGCACUGAGCAUUUGUCCCUCGUUAACAGAGUUGACAAAGUACAAGUGUACAACCACUACCUCCACUACUCUGUUUUUGUCCACGCUACAAGACAAGACAACAGCUAUGCCUGCAUAAUUUGUGUCCUCAAGAUGGGAAUGAAUUUGAAGCUUAUUCUUCAAAGGAGUACACUCAAAUCAGGCAAAGGAUUACUGGUGGAUGAUCAAAGGAUUUCAAACGACUCUUUAGACGUUCUGAUUAUCUCAACGUCUCUUUCACGCCUCUAUAUAAAGGAGUGAAGACUUGAAGAUUAAAGAUAGAGAUAUACAAGUUCAAAAGCGCCAAAACUCUGUCAAAUUGAUUCUACAAAGCACACUGAAUUUCUGCACUGAUUUGAUACAUCUUAGAAAUUCAAAGUCUAGAGUCUUUAUUGUAUUGUAUUGAGAACACCACUGAUUGUAUAUCAAGUGUUCAAGUCAAACUCAAUUCUCUGUAUUUUUGUUUGAUCAGAAGUCUCUUGCCUGCGUGCUUGAGCAUUAGAAGUCUCUUGCUUAGUGCUUGAGCAUUGGAAGACUCUUGCGUGUGUGCUUGAGCAUUUUUGUGAAGUCUCAUACUUAGAAAGUAUUGAGCAUUUGUAAUCUUUGUGAUUAUAGUGAAAUCUCCUUGGAAGUGCAAGGGGGACUGGACUACUUCCGUGUUGUGGAAGGAACCAGGAUAACUGCUUGUGUCUUUGUCUUUCUUUUCUCUGCUCUGCUCUGUUCUUUUCCGCUGCAUAUCUAAUUCUGAUCAUUUCAUCAGAAGCACUCACAAACUGCUUCUGAAGGUUUAUCAGAAGAAGAUUUUUAGAGAGAAAAAGAAAACACAAUUCAACCCCCCCUUCUUGUGUUUUUCUCACCUUCAUAGUUUAGUCUCACAUCGACUAUAAAUUAAUUAAAUGUAGGAUAUAUAACUUAUAAGAGUGGCGACUCAUGCCUAAUGUCUUAAGGUUUUGGGGUGGAGAAGUUGUGUCCAAUCUCUUGAUGGUCCUGAUCAUUUACCAAUUGUUUCUCUUAGCGCUCUCCCGGACUCUGCAACAAUAUCUUGAAAAACCAAAUGGUUAUAAAAUCGUUAACUUGCAUUGCUUUUUCAGCACUGUCUUGUUUUUGCCAUGCCAUAUUGCAAAUUUACACUACUAGAUUUGCACAAACCUUGGUGUUAUUAAUUAACUUUUUCCAAACAUAAACUCUUGUAUUUCAUAUCACAUGUCUAACACAUACAAGAGGUACACACAUCAUGAGUAUUUCUUAUUGAUGUAAAGUAAACCAUAAAUACCAACAAACAAACAAACAAACAAACAAACAUAACAACAUGACCAUGAUGAGGUAAUUUGACUACUUCACACAUUUUAUUUAAAGCAACAGAACAAACAAUGAAACUCAUUAAAUGGAGAUACUAUUAGGAAUGCCUCUGCCAGUCAAUCCUUCCUCACUAGAAGGAUAAAGCAGAGUGUAUGGCAUCUUCACAGGCCCGUAUCGGUUUCUCAAUGACUCAUCAUUGUUCCUUUUGAUGAGCUUUGCCUCAAUUUCAGCCAACUUCCUUCCAAACCUCUUGAAAGCUUCUAAUGGCUGUGAAUCAAAAGUCCAAGCCUCACCUUCAUUUCUCUGUCCAAGGUAUUGCUCAUCAGAAGCAUGCCUUGACAAGACCUCUAUGAUUGUAAGGUCAGUUAGGGUAUCAUUUUUUGGUGUGAUUGUCCUCAGAUACGCCUUCUGAAAGUUCUUAGAAAGCUCGUCAUACUCAGCAGACCCUUUCUUAGGCAUGUGUCUCCGGCUCUUAGUUGGUCGGUUAAGUAUAUAUCCUCCAUAUGGGUAUUGACCAAAAUUAACAGCUGCAUGAUGUGCUGAAGCAAUCCAUAUGAGGAUAGUGCAAGCUUCAAUCAACUCUGUACAAGUUUGCAUCUUAAACCACCAUGUAGCAUUCUUCAAAUCACCAUGACCCACCUCUACAACUUCUCUCCAAAAUGCUUGCAGUUCAGAAUCUUGCGCAACAGCAACAUCUGACUUGUAGUAGAAAUUCACAUAUUCUUCAACCCAUGACUUGAUAGCAUCCCAUAUCUCUAGUCCAUCAGCAGCAUAAGGGUAGUCCUCUAUCAGAAGGCGAAUUCCAUGUGGGGAAGUUGGAUCCUCAACAGCCACUCCUCUAGAUAUAGCAUGCAAGGAAGAUAUCAUUAACAUAAAAAAUACUUUUGACAUCAAUAUCUUUUUUACCAAGAUUAUUAAAUUUCUAUUGUAGUCACAAUCCUAGCCAUUAUAGAGAAUUGCGGUAAAAUAUAGUUGAUGCCUUAUCUUAGAUCAUGGUUACUAGCAUUAUUUCAAUCCUUUUUUAACUAAUGAAUGAGUAGUAACUAAUUUUUUUUUGAAGGUUACCUUUUAAGUAGAUCAUUAGGUAGUCCUUGAUCUGGGAAAACCCAAUCCUUAUAUAAUACAGAAGACAGUUCUAUAGAAUGACUUCCCAAUAAGAAUGUUGAUUCUAUAAUACCCUCUGCAUUUACCAAGACACUCCUUGCAAGUGCAUUAAUGUUCAUUGUGUCACGAUAAUGUGGAAGCAGAAGUUUGUGAAUAGGGUGAACCACACUAAGAUGCCUAUUAGUUGCUAUGAUGAAUGGCUCAACAACAGCGUGCGUGUUCAACCUGUUACACAUGUAGAUAUUCAUGAAUCAAUCUUAGAUAUAUAAAAUUAAAUAUGUUUGAUUCUAUAAAAAUUCAUCAACAUAAUUGUACCAGUGGCUGACAAGUUGGUGAACAGAAGAGUCAUUUACAAUAACAUAAGCCUUGGCAAGGAGCCAAAUAGAAGAUUCAACACCUUCCUUUGCAGGCAAGUAAACAUCACUAACAGGACCAAAGCUAUCAGCCUGAGGAUGUGGGCUACUUAGCUCAAUGGCUAAUGGCUUCAAAGUUCCAUCAUUUUGUAAGAAAAUGAUAGUUCUAGUAGCAUAUGCCUUUGUUGUAUCAGCUGCAUUUAUUUUCCUCAGAUAUGGAUAUAUUGAGUCAUGGUGAUCAAGUAUGUAAAGCCUGUUGUUUUGGAUAGCCUAUUGAACAAAAUAUAAUUUAGUCAUUGCAAUUAUUUGAAUAAUAAAUAACCACAAAAUAACAUUGUCAAAGUUAAAUUAUAUGCAUAGUAUUAAUGUUAAACUAUGUCAUUACUUCUUCUACAGUGACCCCAUCCAUGUUUAGCUCUAACUGUUCUUCGGUUAUUGUGCUCGUAUUAUCACCAUAAUCGGUAUUUAGCUUGCUCUUUGGUGGGAACUCCUACAUUAUAUAUAACAAGUAAUACUGAAAUUAAGAUUGAAAAUAUAGUAUGUAAAGUGGACAAAAUAGAGUUUAAUUUUGUGUUUGUAAAGAAAUCGUUAAACUAUUAAGUUUACCUGAAUUCUUUUUAUAAUGUGUGGAUUCACACCAGCAAUCAUCUCCCUUGCAAAUUCUUCAUCAGUCAUCCACGCAGACUGAUUAACUGCUCAAAAUAAGAGCAUUGCAAAUGAUCUGUAAUAUUUUUAUUUAUUCUAUGAAAAUAUAUUGCUAGGACUAACUAAUAGAUACCUUGAAUCACUUUAGGCGGUGGAAACUUUAGGGCCGAUUCACCAUCAGUUCGGAAGAGUUCCUUGAAAAAUGGUAUGGGGCUAAGUUUGCUAAGUAUACUAGUAGGUAAUUUAAUCCCACCAUCAUAAAAUGAUCGCACAUCAUCAAAGCUAUUAAAUUCUGGCUUAUUGAGUUGUAAUGUAAUUGCAGAUUGUAAUUGAGGUAUGAAACUUUGAGAAGCUGAUUUGAGUAUGUAAACAAGAAAAUCUGAAGACUUCAAGUGACCAAAUGCUUCAUCUCUUGGAACGUAAACAAAGUCGUCCCGUCUCUCACUUUUAGGAUCUGUUCACAUACAAAAUUGAAGACACGCAUUAGCAAGUACUAGCAAAAAGAUCGAUAACUUUAAAGUCAUAAUAGAGAAAAUGUUUUGAUCACAGCACCAUUAAUUUAAUAUGGAACUUUAAAAUUAUAACCUUUUUUAGCUGGUUUCCUGCCGGUUCUGCCCCUUCGAGGGUAAGGCAAGGUGUCGGAUCCUCCAAUAACGGGACGAGCCAAGUGUGCGUACUUGUCAGGAUCACCCAAGUCAUUGUAAACAUCGUAGUCAUAGAUUCUAUCGUGUUCCUUGCGCUGACCCGUUCCAUCUCCUCUUAAAGUCUUCAAUUCUUCUUCUCUAUAGUAGACUAAUGGAGCUGGUGUUUCACUUGGAAGGUAUGUCUAUAUUUUUAUUUAUUUGAUGGUGUAAGAUUUCAGGAAAUAUAGUUCAUAUUUAAAGGUCUUGCUAACAAGUGCCCUAAUGUUAAGAUUAAAAUAUUGAAACCAGUUGAUAGCUUUCAUGUAGAAAAAAUUGUUUUUUGAUGUUCCAAUGUGUUAACAUUUCACUAUAUUUAACAUGCACGAUAAAUAUGGUAUAUUCAUUACCUUGUUGGCGAAGAAGAUGCGUUUCGUUUUAUACUUGUCAGCACUGUAAAUCCAUGAGUUGCAUACAAAGUUGAUGGUUCCAUGGUUUGGAAUAUCUUCAAGUGUCAAACUUACAAGGAAGAAUUCUCGUGUCAUGUUACUCUCAAUAUAAAAUGCUCCUGGAACUCCCAUGUCACUAUUCCAUUCAAAAUGAAUAUCAUAUGCAGACUGUCCUGCUCCCAAAAUUGGCAUGGAAGUAACAAAACCUUCAAUAAAUGUUUUCUCUCCGACUUUCCCUUUUCCGCUUCCUACAAAUAUGUUACAAGUUUGAUUUACAAUUUCAGCAAUGAUAAUACUCCCUCCGUCUCACAUCAGGUGUCACAUUUGAGUUUUACACAAUUAUUAAAAAAAUGAUUAAUAAUUUUGAUUUUAAUGAUAAAUAUGUAUCAUUUACUAACAUACUUUUAUUAAUUAUAAUUAGUGGAAUAUUUUUAAAUGAUUCAAAUACAAUAGAUACAGAUAUGUUAAAAGAAAAUAAUAAUAAAUAUUGUAUUAUUAGUGUUAUAAAAGGGACAAAUAAAUUAAGAAAAAAAACAUAUAAUUUAAGACGGAGGGGAAAAAACAUCUAAUUUGAAACGGGGGAGUAACAUUCAAGAUUAAUUUAUGUCAAAGUAACAAAUUACUCUUUUUGUGCCAAAAAAAUAUUAAUUCUUUCCACCUGAAUAAAGUGUUUUAUAUAGGAGUUGAUAGUUGAUUAUAUCUUUCAUGCUAUAAAUAAGUUUUUGGUCCCUUUAAAUAUCUCAAAUUUCAGUUUUUAUAGUUCAAAAUAUUUUCAGCAAAAUUUGGGUUUGCUAAAAAUAACUUAGAAGGAAAAACUUGCCAAAUUGUUUUAGAGAGACUAUAUAUAAAAUUUUAGAUAUUUAUACAGUAUCCCUAAAAAAAAAAAGAAAUUUAUACGGUAGAAUUAUUUUUUUUAACCCAUUUUGUAAUGAUAAAACAAAAGGGAAACUGAAUUGAAUCUUAUGGACUAAGGGUCAAAUAAUAGAGGAAAAAAAAAAUCAAAUUAUUGAUAAGUAUUAAUAAAAAAAUUAAACCUCACAAAGAUUAAUUUAAUGUAUCAAACUAAUAACUGAAGACUAACAUAUCAUAUGAUUUUCUAUGUAAAAUGUUACCAGAUCGAAAAUCAUAUGAUAUGUUAAUGAGGUAAAUCAAGACUAACUUCUGAUGUGUGUGUAUAAACUUCAAUUCAUUUGUAAACUUUAUUAAUGUUUACUCGUUAAAGCGUUAUUGAGCAGCGCAACACUGUCCAAAUACUAUAUGUGUUCAGUGUUGUAAAUUUAUGACGAGCAUUAUGUAGUCUUAGAAUGAGAAAUGAAUAAGUUUAUUACCAUCGGCAGUGGUAGCACUGAUCAACCUGAGAGCCACAGAACGGCCGACAAAGGCCCCGGCGGUGUCAAUUAGAGUGCCGGCGACACCACCAACAGCCUUGAUUCCAGUUUUGACCAAAUUAGUGGUGUUUUUAGUUGCACCAUUGAUGGCAUUGAUGUCGAAAACAUUUGUUUGCAUCAACACAACUGUGCCCUUCACCUUUUGGCCUCUCUUAAGCAUACUUUUGAACCCUGAAUACAUCUUAAUUUGCUGCUUAAAUUUUUUUUUUUGCAAAUUAAUGAGAGAAAAGUUUGUGGCUGGCAAGAUGCAACCAUCUCAUUAUUUAUAGGGCCAAAAUUAAGCUUCUGAUUAAGAACAAAUAAUUUUUUUUUAAUUGAUUAAUUGAUCAUUGACAUCGUGCAAAAACUAUUAGUAAUAGGCUAAUCGUGGAAUAUAAAAUAAUGAUGUAUUUUAUUAUAGAAAGAAGAUAACAAUAUGUGUUACACAAUCAUAUUAUGACAAAUGGAUUUUUGAACUAUAGUUAAUUAGAUUCUAACGCGUACACCAAUAGUAAUAGGCUAAUCGUGCAAAAAUUAUUUCCUGAUACGAGGUCGUCUUUCUUUCCAUUGUUAAUAAUAUCCCUUCUCACAACUCACAUUCACAUACCGUAACCAUGGUUCAAUUUAAUAAUAUUAAUAAUAAGAGGAUGUACAAGAGUUAAUUAAACUAUGCAAGUGCAACUCCUAUAUGAUUUUAAGAUGAACAUAACUCAACUCUUACAAAUAUGAUUUGUAAGGUGAGGGGUUUCCCACUUAUAAUAAACUCAUUUUAUCUUCAUUUAAUAUAGAACUUUUACACUGCUCAUAUAUGUUUAAGAAUGGACGACAGGAGUGUGACUCGAGUUGUAUGAAAAUAGAUGAUCAAAUAGAUUUUAUUACGACUAUAAUACAUAAUGAAGGUUGUCCCCGUGAGCAUACUCAGUUGAUAGGGACAUACAUAAUUAUAUGCAGGGGUUGGGGUUUGAACCCAGACACCCCACUCAUUCACCUUGAAAAAGGUGAAUUCUAGCCACUAGAUUAAAAAAAAAAAAAUUAAGAAUUCAUUUUCAGGUAUAGUUUUAUCAUCAAGUGUGAAACUAUUAAUAUAUGCAAUGUUAAAAUAUAAAAUAAAUUUGUUUUUAUUUUUUAUCGCAAGAUUUAUCAUUAAACUUUAUUUAGUUGUUUUGACUCAUUCCUUUUUCUAUAUUUUAGCUGUUUUAGUUGAAUGUAGUUCCGUUAGAACUAAAAUUUAAGUUUUUUUUUUUUUUUUUUUUUGGAAAGUUCCAUGAAAAAGAAAUUAGUUUUUUUUUUUUCUUUUUUUCUAGUACUGCAAACUUUAAAAAUAUAAUUUUUCUGAAUGCUUUUGUAUGAAUGAAUUUUGAGGAGUGUUAGAAACACUCUCUUUUUAACACCUACAUUGAUAUUUAAUUUACUCUUUUAUUGAAUGAAUUCAUUGAUAUUUACUAUUUUAUUGAAUAAAUUAAAUGUGUAUUAUACAUUUUAAAAUGAGUUUCACAUAAAAUGGUGGAUUCCAUAGAUUUCGUCAAAUAAAAUAGUGGAUGUUAGAAAGAAUGUUCAACUCUAUGGUCUAUUCACUAAUAUUUUCACACCCCACAAAAUAUUUCUAAUACAAAAUAUUUUGUCAAGAUUGAAUAAACUUUCAAAAAAACUUGAGCUAAAUUUUCCAGAAGAAAAAACUGUUGAUUGGAAUACACGGGGAAUUUUUUUUUGGAAUUUUAGUCACGCUUCAAAUGUGGUUAAACUGCCGAAUUUGUAAAACGUAAUACUUGGAAAAAGAUUUCCAAAAUUUUAUCCAUAGUUGCUAAAAAUCCUGAGGAAAAUUCAAUGAAUCUGCCGUUUAGUAUCAUUUCAAGAAACUUUUAAUCAAUUGUAAAAAACUUUUACUUACCAGAAAUAUUUUGUCCGAGUUAAAGUCAAAUGACAAAAAGAUAAAAUUAACAAUAGAAUUUUUUAUAGUUUGUAGGGAGGAGAUGUAUGAAUGCAGGGGUAAAGAUUAAAGUGAAUUUUUAUUUAAACUAUAGAGCAAAAGCAAAAGCCCGCGACAUGUGCAAUGAGGCUAAGGCUUUGUAGAGCAAGAGUGAUUUUUUAUUUUUUCACAAGAGUUGUUAGGGCAAUGAGGACUACCCUACUCUUCCUACCCCACAAAGUAUAUAACAUGUCUAAUUUAUUUCCAACGACUUUAAAUUAUUGAGGAAUAGGAGUUUAGUCCUUUCAUCAUUUCAGUUUUUGGGAUCGAAAAAUUGAAAAAGUCAAAAUUUGAAUUUUUUUUUUAAUGUACUAGUUUUUCUAGUCCAUACGAAGAGAUACAUAUCAUGUGAAAUUCACACAUAAGACUGUAAGAUUAUAAGUUUGAAGCGGACAAAGAUGUUCAAACUAAAAAUAUUGAUAUUAGUCAUUGAAAUAGACCAUGCAGACAAGAAAAUAUUAGUUUUUGAAAGAAAGAAAAAACAAUGUUACGAGGAACUCAAAUUUUGAGUUUUUGAUAAAUUAAAAAAUUUGAAAAAAUGGGAGUAUUUGUUAACAUUUCCCUAUAAAUGAAAACGAUAAAACCAAACAUUUUAAAAGAAUAUAGUAGUAUGAUUUUGAGGGGUAGGUAGAAUAAUUCUUCUGGAGCGAUAAUGCUAUGAGAAGAGCAACCAAUUGCAUAUACUUGGAUAUGGUUUGGAAGGAGCACAUUUUCCAACUCAUUAAUUAUUUUAGAGAGUGACUAAUUUUUUUUUUUGUUAGACAUGGUUACACGUAAGUACAAGUUUAGUUAGGGGUGCCCUACUUUCGUGUGGUGAAUUCGAUGAUUUUUGACUUUGGAUCGCGUGUUCAAUUUCAUCAUUCUUGGAGAGAAUGAGACUUUUUAUCUUGCACAACUCUCGAGUCUCCUUCUAAUUAACUUUAUAAACUUAUUUUUGAUCAUAUCUUUGGGGCUUGCAUACUUAGAAGUGUUUGUUUUGAUUUGUAGUUUUUCUUUGGGCUUCGACCAUCUUUUGUACCAAAACAAGAGAUUACUUUUUGCGUCCAAUGAGUUUCUCACGCACCAUAUUUUUUUUUUAAUACCCUUUAGAUUCUAUAAUUCAAACAGCACUUCAGCUUAUAUAAUCUGAAAACUUGUAUUUCCAAUAUUUACUUAACAUCGCUGAUUUACAAAACAUCAUUGACAUAUACUAUUAAGAAAACAUAAUUGAAAAUGACCAAAAAUUGAAACAAAAAUGUAGAGACAUAAAAACGAAUUCAAAUUCUCAUUAUAUUAAUAGAUCAUAUCUUGAAAGUACAUUUACAUUAACAUCAAAGCAUAUUACGCAAAAUUAUUAAACAUCUAAUAUUAAACAUAUGGUGCAAGAAGAUCAUGUAGGGGUAAAAAGAAUAUGAUGGAGGGGGAAGGAGGUUGGAGUAAGGUUUUUUUUUUUUUUUUUUAGGAUGAAGGAUACUUUGAUGGUCAACCUUACACCUAAACAUAUCAAAUUUACAUCCAAACAUAUGGUACAAAUUUGCAUAGUGGCACCAUCUUCGUUGAUCGCUCAUACGAUCGCUAAAAUAAAAGAGUAACCUUUUUGUAUAAAAGGUCAACGAUGGAAGCAUAUUAAUUGUGGAAGAAAACAGAAGGAGAAAAUGUGAAGAAUGAGAAUUUGUGAAGGAUUGGUGGGUAUUUACAGGAGGAACUUGUGAAGGAUGAUGCAUAGAGUGUAUAAGACCAUUGAUUACGGUCAAAAAACGUGGUAAACCUGGUUCGACCGGUCAAUGAAACUGAUAUGACCAAAGAAAAACUUGUUCAAUGAGUUAGUCUUGCUGAGCUGAUUCGAACUCUGAACUAGUUCAUAUUAGGUAAUUUGAACUCAUCCCAGGAAUGUUAUUAUAUAAUCCGAACUAAUUUAAGAUUGUGUUAAAAUUCAUACCUUAUAGGGUGAGGGAGAGUUUAAAUUAUAAAUUAUAUAAUUCAAACCAGUUCAAUACAUGUUCUUUUUGUGAUCUACAUUGCACCAACAGUUUCCUUUUAUGUUUUUUUUCUUUUUCUGUGUUCUGGUGUUGUGCCUUAUUGGCCUUUUUUUCCAAAACUGUGACACCAAUUUUUUAGGGCGAGAAUAGAAUUUGAUUGAUUCUCUUCAUUAAAUUCAAUGGAUUUCAUAAAUUUCUAAUUUUAAGGUCACACGGCUAAUACAUAUAUAACACAAAGUGUCGUCAGAGUCUUUUGGCAUUGGUGUCAUACUAAUCUUGUUUGAAUUCUCUACUCCGAUUAUUUUCUAUUACUUUGAGAAUUCAUGAAGUCAUUCAUAGACCUAUUUAACACAUAAUUGAUGCCUGUGUUUUAUAUUUACACUUUAUUAAAACUGUUGUAAAAGAAAAAAAAAACAGACAUAAUCAUAUUUUCGUUUUAUAGUUACGGUUUGCAAGCAUGAAUUCUCACCUCCGUUGAUCUCUUUAAAUUAAUUCGAAGCUUCAAUUCAAAGUGGGUAGAAGAAAUUGUAAACAGAGCAAGAGGUUUAGCUUGGAAUUCAGAAAAAAGUCUUGAAGCUUCACCCUUUCAUCAAUUCUUGAUUUUUUCUUCAAUUUGAUUAAGGGGGAUUACCACUAAAUGACUGUUUUAUCUUUAUCUAUUUUAUGAGCAUGUUGUUGCUUUAUGAAAUUUUUAGAGAUUCUUAGUUUAUGCAAUCUAUUUUAUGUGUUUCUGUCAAUCGCACUUUUGCUGCUGCGUAUUUAUCUGGUUUUGUGUUUGUGUCAGUUUCUGCAUAAUAUCUGCAUUCGUUUAGGUUUCCUUGUAGUUUCUUGUUUAAUGCAAUUACUACAUAAUUGCAUUUCUAUUUUUCAUGUUUCAUUAGUUAAUGUUAUUGCUCUUUUUAGAUUUUAUUUCUGCAUAAUACAUUCUUUAAUGAUUUCUACUUGGCUACUGGUUAGAACUAACAAUUAAAAAUAAAAGAUCUUAAAUAAGGGCAGGUCUUUAAAAAAUACCAUUAUAAUUUUCAACGUAACAUGCUUCUCUAUUUUACAUCUCUUUGUUAUAUAUAUUCAAAUUGGUGAGGUAUUUGAGAUUCUAGAGGGUGAUAAAUGCCUUCCUGAAGAACAAUUGCAAAGCUUAUAAAUGCCUUCCUGAAGAACAAUUACAUCUCCAAAUGUGGUCUUCCUGGAAACUCAGGUGGCAGACAAAUUAAAUCUUGUUCUGGUUUUGCUUGCAUGCAAUGUAAAUUUGAAUCCCUCUAAUAUCUCUUUUGUUUAGAACCUUCUCCUUAUGUCUAUGGUUUUUUUUUUUUUUUAAAUUUAUAAAGAUGAGCAUAUUUCUUAUUCAAAUUUACUAAUUUAGAGAAGGGUUCAUUGGAUUUGAAACUUGUUAUCAUACUUAUGCAUAUGUCAUCUUCAUUUAUUUGUGUGGAUUUACAGGGUUGUAUAUGGAUUUGUUAUGUUUGCAACUUAUUUUCUUUUAUUUUCAAUAGGCUACAUAUGCUUCUUGUACAGUUUCUUUGGAAACAAAUAGGUGAUGGAAAGAAAUGGGAGCUGCAGAGAAGAACCGAUCGAUGGCGGAAUUUUCAUGGAAAUAUAUGUGCUCUACCUAAUGGUCAGUGUAACAACUUGAAGGCACCAUGAUUUCUAGUCAUAGUUUAAAAUUGUUUGAUGUAAAAGGUCGAAACUAAAGCAUUAAGGUAAAAUAUAAUUCACUUUAACUGUUAUUACUUUUUGGGUAUUAACAGCAUUGCAACUGUUAUAUAAUCUUAGGAAAUCAAUAUUGUACAUUACUUUUUCAGCACUAUCAUCUUUUUAUCAUGCCAUAUCGCACUACUAGGUUUGCACAAACCUUGGGGUCAUUAAUUCAUUUUUUCCAAACUUAAACUAAUGCAUUUCAUUAUCAUAUCACAUGUAUUACACAUACAAGAGGUAAACACAUCUUAAGAACUUCUUAUUGAUGUAUAGUAAAACAUAAAAGCAAGCAAACAAACAAACAUACAUAAUAACAAGACCAUGACGAUGAGGGAAUUUGACAACUUCACACAUUUUAUUCAGAGCAAAGCAACAUACCAUCAAAUUCUUUAGAUGGAGAUACUAUUAGGAAUGCCUCUGCAAGUCAAUCCUUUCUCACUAGAAGGAUAAAGCAGAGUGUAUGGCAUAUUCACAGGCCCGUAUCGGUUUCUCAAUGACUCAUCAUUGUUCCUUUCAAUGAGCUUUACCUCAAUUUCAGCCAACUUCCUUCCAAACCUCUUGAAAGCUUCUAAUGGCUGUGAAUCUGAAGUCCAAACCUCGCCUUCAUUUCUCUGUCCAAGGUAUUGCUCAUCAGAAGCAUGCCUUGAUAAGACCUCUAAGAUCGUAAGGUCAGUGAGGGUAUCAUUUUUUGGUGUGAUUGUCCUUAGAUACACCUUUUGAAAGUUCUUAGAAAGCUCGGCAUACUCAGCAGACCCUUUCUCAGGCAUGUGUCUCCG
Molecule: long non-coding RNA, 68773 nt
Filed under: Medicago truncatula (barrel medic)
Lineage: Eukaryota; Viridiplantae; Streptophyta; Magnoliopsida; Fabales; Fabaceae
Description: long non-coding RNA (MTRU_LNC005924)
Source: RNAcentral